UUUUUCAUACCUAUGCCGAAUUCCUAUGGUUUGGCUCUUGGUUGUCCAAAACAUUUGACAUCGGGCCAACCAAACGAUUUUGCACAUAUUUUAAACUUUUUUUAUGAACGAGAACAACAUCUCAUCAUCAAGUGGGCACCUUUUGGAGAAUGCUUACCAGCCCACCAUGGUUUCUCACUCGCUAUGAAUCCAUUAAGGAUCAAUUGUCUUUUUCUUGCGCGAGCGAAUACCCGAUAUUUGGUACUCUCUGCUGGCCCCUGGAGACUUGCAUAUUGGCUUGAAAAUCCGCUCUAAAUUGACGCUUAGCACUGAAGUGUAUUCUCCUCAAUACGUGGCGCGUCAAUUUAGGUUUGUCCAAGCGAUUCCAGCCCUGGCUAAAUUUAUCAUGGCUAACACUGCCAGUAGCUGUCCUCUUACAAAAAGUGCAACCGAAGCCGAUCGGCUCUCGGCCAUGGAAAAUCGUCUGCGAUGUUUCUACAAGCUCGUGAGUUUUCGGCUGAACCACUCAGAGGUGGUGGAUUUUUGCUCCACCAGAGCUUGGGAUGCUUUUUGCUAAAAAAUCUUUUUCAAGUCCAUACUCCAUGCCACCUAUAAAAUUUAUCACAUAGAAGGUAUAUUAGCUUACAUUCGAUUUGAUUCUAUUUUCCUUCUUUUCUUUUAAUUUGUUUUUAUAGUUUUCUAGUAACGUCUAUAAGUAAAGAAAUCUUGCCUGAUUCUCUGAGACAAGAGGAUUUUGGGGGAAAAUUCUGAUCAGGAUUAAAAAGAUUCACCUCACCUCUCCAUGAUAAAUCUUGUUUCUUAAUGUAUUUUUCUUUUCAAAUAUGUACUCGGCAAAACUUGGCUAAUGCAUUCUUUUUUAGCCAACACCUAUUCCUGCUCCAUCGGCCCAACGUACAGAGAAGCGGCCGAUACAAACCGACUCUCCAAUUCAAUCGCCGCAGUAAAAACGACGUAAAACUUUUGCAAUUAAAAUUCGUUCUCAACCUUCCUUUGCUCCAACCGAGAAUUUACCUCCAGCAGAGGUUCCUUUGGCUGUAACUUCAGCUAAGGAACUGGCUUCUGUUCAGCCAGCUGAUCAAAUAUCGAUCGAGGUAAAUCCUCAGUCUAUCUUAAUCAAUUCUUCUUCUUCUCAUUCCUCAACCAGAUCACCUACAUUAUAUGCAAUUUCUGAUGUCGAAAGGCAAGCUCGUCGGGCAACUCGUCUCGACAAGAAGCAAAAAGAAGAGAGAAAAUGAGCGAAAAAGCAGAAGAAAGUUGCAGAAAAGCAGAAAAGAGGAAAAGAAGAAAAUCAAAAGAAGAAAGAGAAGGAGAAAAAGAAAAAUAGAGAAAUUCAGAGAAGGCAAGAAGAAGAAGAAGAGUGGAUUGCAAGAGAAAAAGAACAAAGGAGAAAGGAAGAAGAAUGUAAAAGGAAAGAAGAAGAAAGAAAGGAAGAGGAAGACAGGAAGAAAAAGAGAGGAGAUUAAAGUAAUAGAAGAAAUGGGUGUAGACUUUCUUGUCGAACCCUCAGCCGAAGCUUUUACUUCAGCUCCUAUGCAAGCACCCGGAUCGAUAGAUGUGUUGGCCAUUUCUCUUCAAGACUUGGCCGCUUCAAGCCCAAAAUCUUAUGAGGAGGAAGAUUUUCCCACCACUAUUUCGGCUGAAAUUCAGUAGAAAUUGCAUGAAUGCUUGAGACUGUAUAGUAGUGGUCUUCCUACUCUAUCCCGAAACUUGGAGCAAAUUGAUCGACUCGGAGCGCUCCUCCUUGAUCUCUUAGACCAGCUUGAUCUUCCUUCUUCAGGUAUAUAUUUUGCAGAAACUUUAUCUGUUGGCCUCACUUCUUUCCUAACUUGGUAACAAGCACUUUCUGCCGAGUAUCUUGCUCUGGAUCGUCAUUUUUCGUGGGUCGGCUUCUUCAAGAUGAAAGCUCCUCAAGUAGCAGCUCCAAUAACUGACCUAACCAAGCAAGAUGACAAUCUAAAGGAUCAAGAGUCAGCUCUUCGGCAGCGCAUUACUAAUCUUAAAGAAGAACGUGCUGCAGCCGAAAAGCCUUGGCUCACACGUCUGAACAUUGUGCCACUAUGCAAGCUCAGCUUCAGACCUGUAAAAAUGAAGGGAUGGCAGUACACGAUCAACUUUCCCAGCUCUACAAACUCUAUCCCAUGAUGAAACGAAGAAAACGAGUAGCCGAUCUUGCUCAAUCUAAUUUAGAAACCAAAUGGAAUCAGCUUAAAGACUUACUGUCUUAAUUUAUUUCUCUUCGGUUUUCCAUUCUUUCAUCGGCUGUAAUAUAUUUUGAUAUUUUCUUGUAUUUGUUUUGAUUUGAUUCUUAUUCAUUUUUCCACAUGGAUGGAUAAUAUUUUCUUAAAUAUUUUUCAUUGAUUGGCUUGUCAUUUUCUGAUCUGCCUAAUGUGUUUAGGAAAUAUGUAUUACCUCUUACAACUUUAUAUAUUUCGAAUGGUCCCUCCCAAUUUGGAUACCAUUUUUCAUACACUCGGUUCUUUCGACCAAUUGGCAAUAUUAGUCUUUAGAUCAAAUCUCCAACAGAAAAACAUUUAGCCUUAACUCCUUUAUUAUAUGCAUUGCUUAUUCGGCUCUAAUAAGCUUGCAAUUAUCAAGCACUAACAGCUGAAUUUCAUCUAUUUCUUCCAACUUCUCACUUAUUAAAGUCUCAUAUUCUUUUUCCAUCAAAUCUUUUUUUUCCUUCGACUCUUAAAGGAGGAACCAUAAUUUCGGCAGGUACUAUAGUUUCGUGACCAUCGACCAGCCGAAAUAGCGUAACCCCUGUCGCUGUUUUAACAGUGGAUCGGCAGGCCCAUAAUACUUCUAAGAGCUUUUCUCUCUACUUUCUUAGAUGUUUCACAAUAUGCCGUUUCAUAAUGUUUAUAAUAACUUUAUUUACCGUCUCAGCCUGUCCAUUGGCCUGAGUAUAAUAAGGCGACGAAUGAAGCAACUUAAUAUUUCUCAAGAGAACUAUUCUCCUGUGAACAUCAUUCCUUGGUCUGUUGUAAUCGUCUCAGGAAUCCCAAAUCAAUGAAUGACAGAGUCUUCCACAAACUCUACGAUGUAUUUUUGAGUGAUCAAUUGUCACGCCUAGCAACCGCCAAUUUGGUCGAUUUGGGCACAUACACAGACGCCGAACGAGUAGAGCCACCCCUGUCUGCCCAAGGCUCCACAACCGCCAACAUGUAUAAGGAAAUGCCCAGUAAAAAUUCCAAUAUGCAUAGCUUGCACGAGGGAAAGCAACACAAGCAAGUGAAAGUAACUAGCUAUUACAUCCAUACAUUGUAUCUUGAUUAGUUUAAACAAAAUACAAAGUUUACCAAUUCUAUUUACAUUCGUUUUUCCAAAAUACAUUACACAUUCUUUACAUAUUCCUUUUCAUCAAAUACAAAAGAUGAAAUAUACAAGGUAUAGCUAUACUCGAGGAAGUCCACUAUCUAGUGCGCAAUAUUCAUGUCGCGAUUCUCGACCGCCCGGCUCGCGCUAAGACCUGCAUGGUAAGUGGGGUGAGAAUUACUGAAAGUUUCCAGUGGAUUCAGCUGCCAACCUCGCCGAUUCACCCACUAGGUCUACUCAGGCAUAUAUAGGAAAAGGAAAUAGAUAGCAAACCAGACAAAUGCUACUACAAUGCCUGUACAAAACUGAAGCGAUAAUAAGAUGCUCAUGAUGCAUGCAUGCUUUUUUACCUUUACCUUUACCCAAUUCUUUUGGUUAACCCUUUGGUUAAACCCAACUCACCAAACCAAAUUCCUUUUGUCGGGGAGAAUACCGCUACAACCCGACGGGACCGUCUGUUGGGGAGAAUUCCGCUACCGCCCAGUUGAUGAUACUCCGGAGCUGACCACUUGAGGUGGAGCGACCACCCUCAAGCAUUCAGACUACCUGUGAGUACAAUCCAAUGCUCACUUGGAGGAUACUAUGCCACAACCUUUACAAAGUUCUCUUUGUUUAGCAUUUCCAAUUCUAGGUGCUAACCAAUUCGUUUAGUUAUAAUGCCACCUUGUUUACUAUUGUCAUGGUCCAACACAAGUGCUAACCGAUCCAUCUAGUCACAAUGUCACUUUGUUUACUAUUGAUGUAGUCCAACUCAAGAUCAUACAUUCAUAGGGUUUCUAGUUCCAUAAUAUCAUUUCACAUGUACCUUUAUAUGGAUAACAUACAAGAUGUUUUCCCAACUUAGCCAUAUAUCAACAUUACCCUACAAUGCAUGAUUUUCACACUAUACAUAUACAUAUAUGCUCAGGAAAGUGACAAAGACAUAAUAGGUUAUUCGAAGAUUUGGGAGAGCACCACCCACCUCGUAGGGAUGCCGAGAUGCAAGAAACCAAGUCUCGCGAUUUUUGGACGUCUAUCUCUCUUGAUCCAUGGCUAACGAAGGAAAAACGAAGCUUUUUCUCCAUAUCUUGCUGUAGACUCAUCGGAAUGUCGAUCCGAGUCUCCCAAUGCGUCGAAUUUACCGUCAAUUGGGAUUACAUGAGAUCAAUUCCAUGCUAGAUCUCCAAUCCUACAAAAUCCCAUUUCCAUGUCUAGGUUUCACAUAACCUCAACAUACUCAAAUUUCUUAAUUAGGAAUUCAUGGAGUAAUCCAAACCUCCAAAACCCAAGAACCUCAAAAACCAACAAUUUAGAGUAUUUUGAUCAAAUCCUAGCAAAUAGGAUCAAGAGAACUUACCUUGACUCCCAUGCUACCCAAGCUCUUCUUGUUCUAGAGCUUCUACAAUACCAAAGUCACCAAUGUCCCCUUCAAUCCAACCUCAAUCUCCUCUAAAACCCUUUUAACUGUUGGAGAAAUCCUAGAGAGAAGGAGAAGGAAACGAUAGGGAGGAGGAAACAAUGCUUCUCCUUGCAUGGGGAGUGUAUAGGUGUUAGGGUUGGGGUAUAUAUAGACCCCCAACAUUAGCACUUAGGCCCCUUACAAUUUACCCCAUCAACCAUUACAAUUCAGUCCCUAACAGACUGGGUACCAGUACUCGGGCUAGAGUAUCGGUACACGGGGCUCCCAGUACCGGUACCAGUCACCCAGUACCGGUAGCAACCCCCCAACCCUAGGCUACGCACUUCUAGUCCGAGGCAGAGUACCGGUACCCAGCACCGGUACUGGUACCCGACCAAUCCAGUACCGGUACCAGCCUCAGGUACCGGUACACCGCUUACCAAGAUCCUAAUCCCGAGAGCUGACCAACUGCACUAUUGCUGGGUACCGGUACAGCAUUGGCCUAGUACCGGUACUGAAUGUCCCAUGGGCAGUCCAGCAAUUACAGUGUUUCGGAUUUCGUUUGUGCGCCGGUUUGCACCGAAAACACCCAAACACACCCGAAACUCACUUUUAGCCAUCCCAAUGCCUUGAAGGCCACUCAGGGACUUCACUUACCACUCUCAUACCUCACUUUGAUCAAUUCGAUCAAAGUUAGUAUUCCGAUUCUUGGAUUCAGUAUAUUACACCAAUCUUAUAGGUUUCACCUCUACCCACUUAGUAAAAUAGUCUACUGCCACUAUCAAGAAUUUGUGUCCAGACGGCGAGUUCGGCUGAAUUUCUUCAAUUGAAUCCAUGGCCCAUCCUCGAAAAGGCCAAGGUUUGAUAAUUGCAAGCAUUUCGGAAGCCGGGACCCCUUGUACCGAGCUAUGAAAUUGACACUCUUGACAUCCUCUUGCGUAUGUUAUGCAAUCUUUGUAUAUAGUUGGUCAAUAAUAUCCUAAGUGUUGAAUGGUCCAACUUAAUCUUUUUCCGGCCAAAUGUGCCCUACAAAAGCCUUCAGGGCCACGCCCGUAACUAUUAAAGCUUCCUCAGAUCCUAAGAAUUUUAACAACACUUCUUCGGUUGUUCUUUUAUAAAGUUGUCCAUUUAAUAGGCAAUAGUCAAGUGCCCUCUUCCGUAGAUUAUAACUGACCCGUUGAUUUGGAUCAUUAAGAAAUUUCACUAAAGGUUCUCUACAGUCUUCUUGUACUUCUACUGGAGCGAUCAUUGGCUCUCGUGUAAAAACCGAUAGUAACAACCUCCUUUCUAUCUUGACUUGGUUCUCUUUCGGCUCUCUAUACCCUAAAGCCGAUUGAGCUAAGUCAUUAGAUUUUUCCCUUUCUUCCCUUGAUAGAUGCACAAACUCUACUUCUCUGAAUUGGCUAAGUAGUUCUAUUGUUCGAUUCAAAUAACUUUACAAAUUUUGACUCUCACAUCGGUAUUCUCCAAUUACCUGUUUUAUUACUAACUGUGAAUCACCGAUGACUUUUACAGAGCGUACUCCUAAUUCUUACAUAAUCUCAAGGCCAAUUAUUAAAGCCUCAUAUUCGGCUUGAUUAUUAGAGUAGCCAAAAUCAAGCUCGAAAGCAAAUUGAAAAGUGUUGCCUUCGGGAGAUUGUAUAACUAUCCCGGCUCCCGCUGAUUCAGCUAUUUUAGACUUGUCAAAAUAAAGCGUCCAAAAUUGGCAACCGACCGGAUUUUGCAUCAACUCAUCAAUUUCAAUGCAUAGAUGGUUGGCUAAAAAGUGGGCUAUUGCUUGUCCUUUAACCGUCUUUGUCGAAAUAUAAUUAAGAGAGAAUUCGAACAAAGCUAACAUCCAUUAUCUAAUUCUUUCUCUUAAUACUGGUUUAAAUAACAUGUACUUCACCAGAUCAGUCUUACAAAUAAUUGACAUUUCUACUGGUAAAAUAUAAUAUUUCAGAUUAGUACAUGCGUAAUAUAAUGCUAACCAUAGAUUCUCUAUUAUCGAAUAGCGUCGUUUGGCAUCUAACAGGUGUCGGCUGAGAUAAUAAAUAGCAUGUUCUUCCUUUUCACUAUAUUCCUAGGCCAACAAACACCCCAGAUUUUCUUCUGCAGCUGAUAUAUAUAACUUCAUCGGCUGGCCCUGUCGAGGAGGAAUAAGAACUAGAGGAUUUGUUAAAUAUCUUUUAAUGUUUUCAAAUGCCUCUUGUUGCUCCUCUAUCCAAAUAAACUCCUUUUGAUUUUUGAGCCGAAGUGACGGAGUGAAUACUCCUAUUCUACUGGCUAAAUUAGAUAUGAAGCAUCGUAAGUAGUUUAUCUUUCCCAAUAAACUCUGCAAUUUCUUUUUAUUUUUAGGCGGUGGCAAUUCCAUAAUCGCUUUUGCCCUGUUUUUAUUUAUCUCGAUCCCUUUUCCAUGUACAAGAAACCUGAGGAAAUUCUCCGCUGAUACCUCAAAAGCACACUUCAAGGAAUUUAUUUUUCAAUUGUAUUUCCUCAUGCAUUCAAAAGUAAGUUCUAAAUCAGCCCAAUGAUUGAUUUGUGAUUUGGAUUUUACAACGAUAUCAUCGAUAUAUACUUCCAAUAUUUUACCAAUCAAAUAAUGAAAGAUAAAAUUCAUCGCCCUUUGAUAAGUGGCUUCGGCAUUAUUUAAACCGAAGGGCAUCACUAUCAAUUCAAAGAUCCCAAUAGACCCCGUGCAUCAAAAAAAGGGCGUGGAAACACAUAGGAACUCUUGAAUGGAAAUUGAAAAGAAAUGUAGCUCCAGUUCCUUCGGAAAUGGUAAGAUCUUUGGCGCAAGAAGAAGGGGUGAUCCAUAUCAUCUUGACUUGGUUCUGCUUCCCCUUUUCGCUAUAUCUUCUUCGGCAAUAAAGAUCUGAUUAUAGCUAGCUUGACCAUCCAUAAAAGAUAAAAUUUUAUGUCUAGCUGCCGAAUCCACUAGCAUGUUAGCUAUAGGGGCAUCGAGUAUUCAUCUUUGGGUGUAGCCAAAUUCAAAUUUUUAAAAUUAAUGCAAACUCUAAGUUUGCUAUUCUUUUUUCGUACUGGUACUAUAUAAGAUACCCAAUCAAUAUAAUGAGCUCCUCUAAUAAAUCUAGCUAUUAAAAUUUUUUUAAUUUCAUUCUUAAUUUGUAGUACAAUAUUUGGCUUAGACCUACGAGCCGAUUGUUUAUAAGGCUUAUACCAUUUUUUAAUAGGGAGCCUAUGUUCUACAAUUUCUCGGCUCAAUCUUGGCAUCUCUUCAUAACUCUAGGAAAAACAAUCCUUGUAUUUUAUUAGCAACCUUGUUAGCUCCUCCUGUUGUUGAGCCGAAAGCCUUGUGCUAAUAUACGUUGGCUAUUUGCCUUCGUCUGAUCCUAAGUUCACUUUCUUUAAUGGAUCUUGAGUCUCCAGGUUUUUUUCUCACCGACAUUGAUCGGUGACUCUUCCAUGGACUCGAUCUUGAUAUUUUCAAAAAUUUUAGAGCAAUUUUGAUCAUGAGACAUUAUCACAGCCUCUGUUCCCUGAGCCGCAUUAUUUUUGUUUAAAUUGGCUCUCAAACUUGGUAUUUCAACAUAUAAUUUUUCAUUGGCCGUCUUGGCUAAUUUAUUGCCUGAUCCUUCGUCGGCCAACUCGAUUGAUUUAAUACAUAACUCCUCAUUGGCCAGCUUGGCCGAUUUAAUAGAAUAGCCGACUCCUUCAGUCGGCCUGUUAAGUCGAAGCUCAUCUUAGCUUUUGACAUUCCAUUUCAACAAGUCUGGUGGCUCUUAUGUAGCCACCAAUGCCUCUGCAUCCUUCAGGAGCACCAAUUGCACUCCCUCUUCAGUAACCUGAACGAAAAAAAUUUGAUCCGAGUUUCUGUCGGCCCAGUUUUUAUGUCACGCCCCGAGCCCGCCUCUUUGGUCGGAUUCGGGCACGCCAACAGACCGCUGAACGGACAGGGUUUUCUCUGUACCGCGGACAGAGUCUCCCCUGUACGUCCAAGGCAUCACAAUCCAUACAAAGCGCGAGGUUCCAAUCAGGAACAACAUACAACCAUAGAUUGCAUAAGGAAGGUAUCGAAAACAUAAAUGCAAUUAUGCUAUUACAAGCAUACAUCUCACAUACAUUUUUAUUUACAUAUUACAUUACAUUUUUAACUCAUUUUAACUUCCAAAUACAAUCCAACUUUAACUUAAUUAUUACAAAUUGGUUCUUUUCUUUCUUACAUCCCUAAGUAGCCGACUCAGGGUACCGCUAUCUCUGGUCUCGGUGGUAGGGCGCUAACUAUGGAGCUACGCCCUCGCCUCACGCCGCCGCGCCGCUCACGUGUGAACCUUACCCCCAAAAACAACACGAGGGUGAGAACUAUUGUCCAUAGUUCCCAGUGGGUACGGCCACCCAAGGGAAAAGCUCGACCCACCAGGUCCAAAGGAGGCACUGUAAACAUGUUAGUCCAACAGAUAUCCACAAAUAUUUAAUGCAAAUAUUAAAUACAUAUUUAUGCCUCAAGACAUGCAAUAUGUAAUAUAUGCAACAAUGCAAGUAGAUCAUCUGAUUCUACUCUCUAUCCCGCUAUUCUUUAUAUUAUUAGCAAUUCUUUAUCCUUUAUUCUUAGCCAUAAAUUACUCAUUUGUCAUUCUUUCCUAAGGUUACAUUUACCUUAGCCAACUAUGCCACUCAACUCGGUCUCAAGUUAAUCCUCUGCGGGAUACCGCACACAACCAGGCUUGAGGUAAUGGACGUCUCACAUAUACCUCAGCCCUAAAUCCACUCAGCUGGGAUACCAAAUCUAUAGCUCGUGAUGCCUGCUUAAUGUACAUUCAUUUGGCUUUUACCCAAUUGUACCGGUUAACCUUGUUAAACCCAAUAGCUCACAACCCAAAAUCCCUUAAUAACGGGGGACUCGAACCACCCUAGGGACCGUCCUCUGGGGGGACUUUACCUCGCCCAGUGGUGACCAACUCCGGAGCGCACCGCUCAAGGGGGAGCUACCACCCUCAAGCCAAGACUUAUCGUGAGUAUCGAUCCAAUUCCCAAUUUGGGAAUGUAAAGCCACUAUCCACAAUGCCACAAUGUCAUAACAAGUUUCUACCUUGUCAUAUAUGCCACUUUCUAGGCUAAAUGCCACAAUAUCUCUAAGUUCACAUUGUUAUGUCAAAUGCCAUAAGUGUUUCCAAUACACUAAUCAUAUGCCACUCGAUCUAUUUGACAUCCUAAUUGUCCACAUCGAGUAUCAUAGUUCAUAUGUCCUUAUUUUCCAAUGUCGAGUUCUCUAAUUUACCUAGAGUUUAUCGACCCAAGUUCAACAUGCAAUUGUCAAUUAACAUAAUCCUCUAUAUGUCAACAUGCAUAGUUCAUCUAUCAUAUGCAAUAUGUCAUUAUGUAUAUAUUUCCAUUUAACAUAAUCCACAAUAUGUUAAUUCACAAUAUAUCACCAUGCACAUAUACCAACUAGCAUCUCAUGAUAUGUGAACACACAUAUAUACAUCAUCUAGCAUAAUCCAAACUAUGCCAACAUGCCUUCCUAUAGUAUCACUUUCAUGUAUUCAUAUAACCUCUAUGACAUGCAUUCAUAUAACAUUUCAUGUAUUCUUAUAGUAUCAUUUUCAUGCAUUCAUAUAACCUCUAUGACAUGCAUUCAUAUAACAUUUCAUGCAUUCUUAUAGUAUCAUUUUCAUGCAUUCACUUAGCAUAUUUCUUAUGCAUUUACCAUUCUUCAACUAGCUACCAUUAUAUGCAUCAAUAAUAAACAACGCUCCACUUCGACAUGGAAGUGAGCUAAUAUCUUCGGUGAGCACAACCCACCUCGUAACGCUCUCCGAUUGCUUGUAGUCACUUGCAAUCGGCCUCCCGUAGCACCCGCCGCCCGGUUCGGCCCGAUCUCACGCUCAACCACCGAACGACCUCCAAUCCACAAUCCAAAAAUUAAAGGUCUAUAACUUGAUGCCACGAUACUCCGGAUCCGUUCUCAUGAUUUUUGGACGUCGCCUUGGCCCUCCAGGCGGAAACGAAGCCGAAACGUCCGUUUCUUCAAUAUCUUCGCAUAGGCUCGACGAAUCGCCGAACCGACUUUGCCAACGCGUUUGUAUACCUAGCAAUUAGGUUUACAUGGGCUCAAUUGAGAUCAAACCUUCACAUUUUAUAAAACUCCAUUCGGAGCCCUAAUAUGCAAUUAACCUCUAAAUAAUCCAAAUUGAAUGGAGCAAUAUGCUAACAAUACUCUAGAGGUUACUAGAAUACCAAGUAUUAAGGAUUUAACCAAAUCCUAAAUACUUACCGAAAUUUGAAUGUCGAGACGAAAGCAUGCCGCUCAAACGGUCGCACGAGAACCCGAACCGACACCUCCUACGCGUUUCCAAGCUUCUUCUCCACCAACCCUCAAAUUUUUAAAAAGAGAUUUAGAGAGAUGAGAGAGAAAUCUAGAGAGAGAAAGGAGAGUUUCUCUCUCCCCACCAUGUGUGUGUGGGUGUGGUGUGUGUGUGCUGUGUGUUCGGGUGAAGGAGAAGAAGAAGACAAUUGCUUCUUUAUAAUUAACACCUUCAACACUAUUCACUUCAGUUUGUAGUUCAGGUACAGAUAUUUUUCGCCUGCCCUUCUGAAUGUCCGUUUGAGCUCAAACUUGACAGUCAGGCUCGGUUUUACUUAACUUAACGAAAGAAAUUUUAAUCUUUUAGUUUCGAUCACAUUUGGUCACCGAAAGCUCUACCGAACUGUAAUCUCUAGCAGGUAGCAGUUAGAUUUUAUUUUCCACCUUCCGGGUGUCGGAUUGAUAUGAAACUUUAAAUCUAGCCUCAUAAAAAUAAUUCCGACAAAUUCUCCAGUUUUCAUAAUUUUCUGACACUGUGCAUUUUCUGCUAAAAUAUCAGUCCCGUUUCGCAUAGAAAAUUCUAAAUCUUCUGUUUUUAUUCCGAUUUCAGCACAAGUCAUUUCUGACUUAUAUUUUACUUCUCUAAAUUCAAUAAAAAUAGUAUCUCACACUAUUUUUAUUUAUUUUUACUUUUAUACCAAAAUCUGGUAUGUUACAUUUUAUGGCCGACAUCUUCCACGUUAAUAUCCACCAUUUGAGGUCGUCCCUCAGCCCUAAUUUUUUCGACGUGAUCUCCAAUCCAUUGGAAUAGCUUUCCAUGCAGGGUAGACAAUACACACUCGUUUGCAUGGAUCCAGUCACGUCCGAGCAAUAGAUUGUAAUGGCUCUCUGCAUCCACUACAAAAAAAGUUGUCCGGAGGGUUUUAGAUUUGAUCGUGAGCUUGAUCAUAAGUACACCCCUUGCUUGUUGACCGUUUUCAGUGAAAUCGGUCGUAGUUGUGUCGGUAAGCUUGAGUUCGUCUUCACUCUUGCCUAGUUUCUUAAAGAAUGAUGUAGGCAUGACAUGAACCAUUGUCCCGUCAUCAAUCAUGACUCGGCCCACAGGCCAUCCUGGUAUUAAGGCCUUGAUAAAUAAAAGCCUGAUGAACCUGGUCUACAGGGCCAAUGGUGUCAUGCCCGGCCCCGACGGAAGCCUACCCGGCAUGUGCACAUACCGCCGUACGCAUAAGGCACCCUCGGUGCACACAAGGCAUCUACCAAAAAAUAAGCUAACCAAGAGAGUAGAUGAAAUAAUCCUAACAAGGUAAUCAGAGCAUGUGUACUAAACAAUAAAGUAAAGCGACAAGUUUACUGCAAUAAGUAUAAACCUUUCACAAAAUAUACAAUAAGAUCACAAACAAAAGUACAUCUCAUGAAAGAAGGUGGUCUCUAUACAAAAUGAUCUAAUACACCUUUCACUACAAAAAUAAAAGAAAGGUGUCUCGGGUCCACCUAGGCAACUCCCAAGAGGCUCUAGCUAGUCGCUAAUCUCUUGCCAAGAUCCCUAGUCUCUCUCGGGGUGGAAGGCUCGAAAACAAAAACAACAACCAAUAGGGGUGAGAACUAUUAAACAAUAGUUUUCAGUAGGUAAGCCACCGAGAGUAGUAAAAUACACCACUAGGUCAAUUGAGGCAAAAGUAAUAAAUAGUAUUAGUAUAAAACUGAAAUGUUAUAACUGAAAUAAAAGCGAUUCAAUUACUCUUACGCCUCUUAUGACUAAGACGGUCCACAAGUAUGGAGCUCUACUACUAUUGAAUGUGUGACCAAUAAAUAUGUCCAACUACUAUGUAUGCAUUAACCAGUUGUGAUGUAUAAUGUCAAGUUUAAUUAACUUUUACCUAAUCGUCGGGGACUUAUACAAGAUAACGUCUCGGCUUGUGCCGUGCCUAAUGGCUCCGUGCAUGGUAGUCAACAUUCCCCCUCUAGGAAUGAGCCUCACCCACGGCAUCCAAUUUCAGCGCCUAAUCCCGCAUGGGCGAGCAUGAUGGUGUGACGGCCAACUCCUGAGUGCCGGCUUGUGGGGAGCGACCCUCACAAGGUUGUACGAAUGAGCACAAAAGCAAACAAGCGUAAUCAAAUGCGUAGGAAUCUCACUCGUCAUGUCUAAAACAUGAAAUAUCAACUAAUGGCCUAGAGGUCGAGUACAAUGUCAUGAUAUCAUCUCUAGUCGUUCAUCUUCGUUAAGUAUAAUAUACUUAGCUCUACAACUUGUCAUUAACAUGCAAAGUAUCAUGUUUUUCUUUAACUGUAGCAAGUAUAAAAUGUUGCCAUUUAAGUUCUGUUGGCGGCCGAAAGUCCCGACCCUUGACUCGGUCAAGGAUUCUCCUCGGGAAGAGCGUCGGGAUGAUGAGCGGCCGUGGAUUGUGACCCUCGAAGUUUGCGCCCACGACGGAUCAAGCGAUUCGGCCGAUGAGGGAUCGAAUCAGCCGGGUUCGAAAACCUCCACAGUAAAUUCGCUUCGGCGGGAUAAGCCGAAUGAAGAGGGGAAGCCCAGAAUUCGACUGAGGGAUGAGCCGAAUGAGGAGACAACUCGAGAUCUGAUCGGCGAGAAGAGCCGAAAAUGACUUUCUAUUGAAUAGCCGUACAAGAACAGGGGAGUGAUGCCCGUAGGGCAGACAGACUCCAAGUAUGCUAAGUUAUGAGAGCUACUCCUAUGAAAAGCGGUAAAUGCAGGAAAGAAAGACGCAGGAAAAUAAAGGUGGUCUUUUGUGCGCAGGGACGAAGACCCUUUUUCAGGGUAUCGUAUGCCUAUUUAUCGAACCGCUUUUGCGUUAGUUAUUGCUCUUACACGAUCAGCCACUAUCUCCUAAUUCGUAGGACCACCUUCGGCCGAUCGGAACCUCUCGUAACUGCUUGCGGUUGCUAUAACUCCUCGGUCCAAUGCGGCUCGUAUGCAUCCGGUGUGCUCUAGGUCUACCGUUUUAGCCGUCUUACGAAUAUGGACCCGGCGUGCCAGCUGUUUGCGCCUAACUGGCUCAACAAUUGCCCCCUCGCCAGUUUUCGAGGCGAUGCUUCGGCAGCUGGCGUUACCUUUUUCAACUCAAACAAUUUUCUGUCGCCGAAAGCGAGCUUGAUCCGAGGCGUAUUUCUCGGUCUAAUCAAAUUCAAAUUCUCUGACGUAUUCUGCACCACGAUCUUCUGUACGGUUUAAUCUAAGCCGUUUAUUCUCUUCUUUACGGCCCUGAUCGCAUUCUCUACUUUUGUCUCAUGUGCGACAUUAAUUAAAUUAUCUUAAUUGUCGCUGUCUAUUCAUCAUUAUAGCCGACCUUGGGACUCGUAAUCGAUGCGACAGUUCGAUACGACGGCCUUUUCUUCUUCCCCAAGCUUUCCAUUCUUUUUGCUAUUCUAAUUCUUAUUUCUUUUCCUCGUCUCCUUCACUAAAACCUCUUCUUCGUCUCCUUCAUUCUUCUUUGCAUUUCGUAACCGACUCUCUCGGCUCUUCUCUUCUUUUGAACAAUAUCUUUGGUUCCUCCUCUUCCCUCUCAUCCAUCUCUUGACUAUACUAUACUCAAACCUUUCGUUGACUUAGAUCCAUCUAAAUUCAUAUUAGGUCCUUCUCUUAUAGAUGCACCAUCUCCUACUGACUCCCCUUUCUCUGAUGAGGGACUUCCUUUGAAAAGGAUUAUUCAUCUCCAUUCUUGGUACUCAUCAGCUUCAACAGGAAAGAGUCUCAGAACUUGGCCAAGCGUCUUCGAAGCAUAUUUGGCCUGGUUAGAUAGAGUAGAACCCGUUUUUAGCGCAUUCUGGCGGGAAAUCGGCAUUUAUGAAGCAAUUCAAUUAUCUCGGCACCCUCCUAUAGCCAAUAAUCUUCUUCUAGCCGCCGCUCUUUAUUUCUGGUCUCCUGUUUCUAAUAUUUUUCUUUCCAAAAAGAGGGCCUCUUACCCCCACUCUUUUUGAUGUAGUCGCCAUUGUUGGCUUACGCCCUCAUGGCGUUACCCUCUCUAUGGCCUACAAUCCUGACGGUGUGUCUGAUUUUGAGGCACACCUUGAUCUAAAUGACUUGGCUUAUUCUAAAUUUCUUCGAAAGUUUGCAGGUGAAUCCCCUGCCCCAGUCACCAAGAAGGAACACACAGCGUUCCUCCUAUACUCGUUAUGCCACAAUCUUUUCUGCACUCAUUCGCAGAAAAUUAACCGAGAUUUUGUUCCGAUCGCCGUUGGUUUAUCUAACGGCGAUAAAUUGGCUUUGGGGCCAUAUUUCCUUGCUUUCGUUUACAGGAAAAUUUUUGAUUCCAUUAAGUCACUACCUUUCGGUGAUGGCAUUGCCAUCAGCUUUGGGUGUGGCGUUUUUUGGUUUCUGCAAAUGUUUCUUCAAUUCUAUAUUCCUGCUCUAUGCCAAUCUCCUUUCAAUCCGAUUUCAGCUGCCCAAUUUGAUUCUUAUGGGCUAGCUCUCGGCUGUCCACAGCCGAUGACCUCUAAUCAAUCCUCUGAUUUUCUUACUUCAAAACUUUUUAUGAGCCAGCCUCUGAUUCAGCUAUUUCUUGGGCUCCAUUUGUUGAUCGUCUCACCAACCCCUCUUGGUUCCUGGCUCGGUUUGAAGCCAUUCAGGGCGAGCUAUCUUCUUCUCGCGCCGGUGAACAUUCAGAUGUAUGGUAUUCGUAUCUAGCCCCCGGGAUCUUCAUAUGGGGCUUAAAUCACGUUCAAAAUUAUUACCGAGUACUGAGGUUUAUUCUCCUCAGUAUGUAGCACGGCAAUUUGGGUUUGUUCAGCCGAUCCCAGCUCCUUCUAAAUUUUUUAUGGCCAACACAGCCGAUCAUCGUCCUCCCACUAAGAGUUUAUUUGAAGCUGACAAGCUUUCGGCUAUGGGGAAUCGUCUCAGACGCUUCUUCCAGCUAGCAAGCUUCCGUCCGAACUAUACAGGGGUAGCCCUUGCCGGCUAUGCUACCACGUGGGAUCAGUUUACUGACCGCUCCUUUGAUCUUUAUCUGCCUCGAGCAUUCCGCAAAACCAUCCAUCCACUUGGUCAGUCAUCUAAUAUUUGUUUAUAAUUUUCUUCUAAUACGGCUGUAAUUUAUUUUUUUAUUUUAUACACAGCCACUACUCCGAGAAAAAAUUCUCCAACCGAGAUUGAGUCUUCACAAGAAACUAUUUCUGAUGCUCCGCCUUCUUCCUCGGUAAAAUAUCAUUUCUCUACUCAUCUUAAUCAUAAUCUUUUUAUCCACUCAUCAUUUUUGUUUAUUUCUGCUUUCAGUCGAUUCCUGCUUCUCCAUCGGUCCCAGCUUCAGACAAAAGACCGAUUGAAGCUGUUCAAGUCACUCCCCCGCCGUCUUCCAAACGGCGUAAAUCAGUGGUUAAAAGAAAAUUUCAACAAGCCGAAAGUACCCCUUCGGCUGAUACCACUAGAGUCGAAGAUAUUCAUUCGGCUGACAUCCCAUCCGAAGAAACUAUUGCACCCUCUUUGGCUACCUCUCUCGGGCGAACUUCUGGAGAUAAAAGCACUAUACCUCCCCGCUCGACUCAGGGAGCUUCUUCCCCUACUUCCGAUGAUCCUCUAUCUGCAAUUCUUCAUUCGUUUUUUAUUUCAAGCCCUAGCUCCAACGAGGGGGAUGAUUCUUCAACUAUUAUCAUUUCAUCAGAUACCCAAAGCAAGUUCGAUGAAUGUCUUAAAAUAUAUAGCAUUGGUAUCCCUGGUUUAGCUCAGAAUCCAGAAUAAUUUGAUCGGCUAUACGCCCUUUUACUUGAUUUAGCCGAUCAAUCAGAUAUUACCCCCGGUAUUAAAUGUUUUGUAGCAACUUUAUCGCUUCAACUUUCAUCUUUUUUGGCUCGACAACGAUCUUUAGGCGCUGAACUUGUAGCUUUAGAUCAACAUUUUCAUAGUGUUGAUCAUUUUAAGAAAAAUAUUCCUGAUAUAGCAGCUCCACCUACUGAAGUACAUUAAGAGGAUAAGGAAUUGGCUGAUCAAGAAUCGGCUCUACAACAACGGAUUUCUACUCUUAAAGAAGAGUUAGCCGCAGCCGAAUCUACUCUCUCACAAACCUCUGAGCGCCGACUUCAAUUACAAAAUCAACUGAAGUUCGGAAGAGAAGAAGGGAUAAGACUUAAAGAAGAGCUGUCUCAUCUUUACAAAGUGCACCCUUAAUGAAGCGCCGAAGGAAAGCUGUUGAGACUGCCCAAGCCAAUCUUAUAGCCGAAUGGAACCAACUCAAAGACUUAUUAUCUUAAUUCGGCUUGUAAUAUUCUAACUUUGACUUUAAUUAUUUUUCCACAUGGAUGGGUAAUAUCUCUUUAAAUAUUUUCCGUUGAUUGGUUUUUCACUUUCUGACGCAUCUCUGUUCUGCAAACAAUAUGCAUUUCCUCUUGUGAUUCGACUAAUCUGAAAUGAUCCUUCCCAAUUUGGGGACCAUUUUUCAUACAUUCGGUCUUUUUGACCGAUUGGAAAAUUCAGCCGAAGUACUAAAUCACUGACGACGAAUGUUUUUAAUCGAACUUUCUUAUUAUAUGCACUACGUACUCGGCUUUGGUAUGCUUGCAUAUUGUCUAAAGCUAUCAACCGAGUAUCUAUUAUCUCCUCUGCUUUUGUCUUUCAUUAACUCACUAUAUUCAUCAACUGAAAGAUUUUUUUGUUUUUCUAUCCUUAAAGAAGGAACUGUUAUCUCGGCUGGGAUUACAGCCUCAUGGCCGUAAACUAGUUGGAAUGGUGUCAUCCCUGUUGCCGUUUUAACUGAAGUUCGGCAUGCCCAUAAUACUUCGGAAAGUUUUUCAUUCCAUUUCCUCAGGUACUUUCCGAUAUGUCGCUUCAUAAGGUUGAUAAGUAUCUUAUUUGCUGCUUCUACUUGUCCAUUUGCUUGGGCAAAAUAAGGCGAAGAAUGAAGCAACUUUAUCUUUCGAGACUCGAUGAACCGAACGAACUGUCCUCCUGUGAACAUUGUCCCUUGAUCGGUUGUGACUAUCUCGGGAAUUCCAAAGCGAUGAAUUAUAUGAUCUUCUACAAAAUCGAUAUUUUCUUUUUGAGUAACCAACCGAGUAGGUUUGGCUUCCACCCACUUAGUAAAAUAAUCGAUGGCUACUAUUAGAAAUUUGUGACCAGCCGAAGAAUUCAGCUGAAUUUCUCCAAUUAAAUCUAUGGCCCAACCUCGAAAAGGCCAUGGUUUAAUUAUUGCGUAUAUCUCAGAGGCAGGAACUCUCUGAAUCAGGCCAUGAAAUUGACAUUCUUGACAACCUUUAACAUAUUCUAUGCAAUCUUGAUGCAUAGUCGGCCAAUAAUAUCCUAGGUGCCGAAUUGUCCAUCUUAACUUUUUUCCUGCUAGAUGGGUUCCACAUAUUCCUUCAUGUGUUUCUCCCAUUACCAAUAGAGCUUCUUCAGGCCCCUAAGCAUUUUAAUAGAACUUCUUCGGCUGUUCUAUUAUAAAGUUGACCAUCCAACAAACAAUAGCCGAGAGCUCUUCUUCGAAUAUUAUAAUCGACCCUUAUACUAGGAUCCUCCAAAUAUUUGAUCAAUGAUUUUCUCCAAUCUUCUUUCACUUCUAUAGGAGCUAUAAUCGGUUCUCGUAUAUGAACCGAAGGUAGUAAUCUCCUCUGUAUUACUAUUAACUUUGACUUCGGCUCUCUGUAUCCUGAAGCCGAUUGGGCCAAUUCAUUUGCCUUUUCAUUUUCAUGUUUGCUCAAAUAUUCAAAUUCGGCUUCUCCGAAAUUGCAUAAUAAUUCUAUUGUCUUCCUCAAGUAAUUUUGCAAAUUCGGAUUCUCACAUCGGUAUUCCCCGUUAACCUGCUUGAUUACUAACUGUGAAUCACCGAUGACUUUGAUUGACUUUGCUUUCAAUUCUUGCAAUAUUUCAGGGCCGAUUAUUAAGGCCUCAUAUUGGGCUUGAUUGUUAGAACAGCCGAAAUCUAAUUCAAACGCAAAUUGACAAACAUGACCUUCAGGAGAUUGUAUCACUAUCCCUGCUCCUGCAGAUUCGGUUGUUUUUGAACCGUCAAAAUACAACACCCAAGGUUGACAGCCGAUCAAAUUUUGUUUCGGCUUCUCAAUCUCUACACAUGGGUGAUCGGCCAAAAAGUCAGCUAUAGCUUGACCUUUGACAAUUUUGGCAGGAACGUAAUUAAGGGAAAACUCGGAUAAAGCUAAUAUCCAUUUCCCAAUUCGUCCUCGCAACACUGGCUUAGAUAACAUAUAUUUUACCAAAUCGGUUUUGCAUAUUACCGAUACUUUAGCUGAUAAAAUAUAAUAUCUCAAUUUUGUGCAUGAGUAAUAUAAAGCCAAACAUAAUUUUUCCAUAGCCGAGUACCGUUUUUCUAUAUCUAACAGGCGUCGGCUUAAGUAAUAAAUGGCCUGUUCUUCCUUCUCUUCAUUUCUUGAGCCCGCAAACAUUCCAAAUUUUCGUCUGCAGCCGAUAUGUACAACUUCAUCGGCUAAUUUGGUUUCGGAGGUACCAGCACCGGAGGAUUUGAUAAAUAUCUUUUUAUACUUUCCAAUGCCUCUUACUGUUCUUUUGUCCAAACGAAUUCUUCUUUAUCUUUCAACCGAAGUAGCGGGGUAAAAACCCCAACCCUUCCGGCUAAAUUAGAUAUAAACUGCCGAAGAUAAUUAAUCUUUCCCAGCAAGCUUUGCACUUCUUUUUUGCUUUUAGGUGGCGGUAGUUUUAAUAUGGCUUUCGCUUUAUUUUGAUCAAUUUCGAUCCCUUUCUUAUGCACUAAAAAUCCUAAGAAGUUUCCUGCUGAAACUCCAAAAGCGCAUUUCAAAGGGUUCAUUUUCAAAUUAUAUUUUCUCAUUCUUUCAAAGGCGAGCCUUAAAUCAACCCAAUGUUCGGCUUGUGACUUGGAUUUGAUAACUAUAUCAUCGAUAUAUACUUCCAACAUUUUGCCGAUUAAGUCAUGAAAAAUAAAAUUCAUUGCUCUUUGAUAAGUAGCUCCGGCAUUCUUUAAGCCGAACGGCAUAACAACCCAUUCAAAGGUUCCAAUUGAACCGGGGCAUCUAAAAGCCGUUUUAGCCACAUCUUCCUCAGCAAUAUAAAUUUGAUUAUAACCAGUAUGUCCAUCCAUGAAGGACAAGAUUUCAUUACCAGCAGCCGAAUCUACUAACAUAUCGGCUAUUGGCAUUGGAUAUUCGUCUUUAGGUGUAGCUAAAUUCAAGUUCCUAAAAUCAAUACAAACUCUAAGUUUGUCAUUCCUUUUACGCACAGGAACUAUAUUAGACACCCAAUCAACAUAACGGGCCGCUCUAAUAAAUCCGGCCUUUAAGAGAUUUUCAAUUUCAUUCUUAAUUUGGAGUACAAUACUCGACUCAAACCUACGAGCUGGUUGUUUAAAAGGCUUGAACCCUUUUUUGAUGGGCAGCCGAUGCUCUACAAUCUCUCGGCUUAGACCUGGCAUUUCUUCAUAGCUCCAGGCGAAGCAGUCCUUGUACUCCUUCAACAGCUUCUUCAAUUCUUCCUGUUGCUGAGCCGACAGCUUGGAACUUAUAAACGUCAGCUUGUUGUCUUCGCAAGACCCCAGGUUUACUUCUAUCAACAAAUCCUGGGUCUCCAGCUUUUUUUCGCCGACUUUAAUAGGCUAUUCUUCCAGCUUCAUUCCUGCUGUUUGCCUAUUCAUUUGACCUUCCUCUUCGGCUUUAUGACACGAAUCUUUUAUAACUUCUUCGGCCUUAUUGGCCGAAUUGUCAAGUGUUAACACAUCGGCUAUAACAGUCGAAUUAUCCUCAUAGCCGAUCUUGUUGAUCGGCUCAUCCUGUCGAGGCUUAUGCCAAGCCUCUAUUCUUGACUUUUGGGACUCCAUUUUAACCAUUUAGGUGGCUCUUCAUUAGCCACCAUAGCAUUGAUAUCUUUGGAGAGAAUUAAUUGAAUCCCCUUCUCCGUUACUCUCACAAACGAAAUCUGAUCUGGAUCAGCAUCGUCCCAAUUGGUGUGGCCGAUGUCCUCUAUGUUGACAUCUAUCAUUUGAGGCCGCCCCUCGGCCCGGAUUUCUUCUACCUUGUCUCCUAUCCACCGGAACAAUUUCCCGUGGAGUGUGGAGGGUACGCACUCAUUCGAGUGUAUCCAAUCUCUUCCCAAUAGUAAGUUGUAGUGGCUAUCUGCAUCCACUACAAAAAACACAGUUUUUAAAGUUUUUGAGCCUACCGUGAGUUCGGUGGUGAGCACUCCUCGAGCUUGUUGACCGUUUUCUGUGAAAUUGGUCAUGAUUGAAUCGGUGGGCUUCAAUUCGUCUUCAUCUUUGCCCAACUUCUUGAAAAAGGAAGUAGGCAUCACAUUGACCAUAGCACCGCCGUCUACCAUAACUCGGCCUACCGGCCGGCCUUCUAUUAAAGCUUUUAUAAAGAGAGGCCUUAUGAACCUCGUCUACAUGGCCGAUGGUUUCUCAAAAACCACUGCAUCGGCCUGUCGAACAUCCUCUAGCUGCAAUUGGGCUACUGUAAGCCCAUUUUCUUCUUCUUCUCUGAAUUCCUCGUAUUCAACAAACUCUGCUUUGAAAGAUUGAGGCAGAGCGUACACCAUAUUGACCUCAGCCGGUGAUUCAUCAGCCGACUUUCCUUUGAUUCUCUGUUUCUUCUCUUCGACUCCUUGGCCGUUUCGGCUGAAGAGUCACUCUCCAUACGGACCUCCCUCUCUUUAGGAGGCCAUCUUUCCCUCUUGAUCAUCGUCUCGAGGGAAGCUAUUUUAUCUUCUAACUCCCUCCUGGUCAUUUUCUCUUCCGACUCAGCCUCGGUUGGCCAUUCCACUCUCGACUUCAACUGGAGGGCGGGCGUUGAGCCGCCUGCCUCAUGGUCAUUUCUCAUUGGACGAAAAGGGUGUGGCCGCUCAUCAGGGUGUCUCCAUACAUUGAGCCUCAUCCCUUUCGCCUCUUUAUAAUUUUGUCUUGCCUCGGCUUGCAUCCUCUGCUGCCGACGCUUCUGAGUUUUUGUUAACAUCGGCCCCUGCCAUCUGGCCGAUGGUUUAAUCUCAACUUCGUGCCAUUCAUCCACUGGCACGUUUGCCGGUACCUUUACUGUCCUCAGAUGAUUUUUCAAAAUUUCUCUCCUCUCCCAAGGUCUCGGCCAAGGCUGAAUGCCGAAUUCGUUGACUAGCCUCCGACCGAGGAAUUCUAUGUCUCCCUCGGUCAUUCCUUUGAAUUCCGAUUUUGGUCUCGGCCUGGCUUGCUGUUGCCAGUGUGGCCGAUAUCCAGGGAACCUUUGCUUGGAGCCGAAUGGUCUAUCCUGGUAGUCCCAUCGGCCAUGACGUUCUCCACGCCUAUUGUUGUAGUAAUCAUGCAGAAUCUUCUGCAUCAGCAUAUCUUUCUUGCGUUGAACCGAAUCUACUUCCGGUUCGGUGUCAUUAGAGGCUGCGUCUGAGCCUUCUUCUUCUUGGUCUUCGCCAUCAGGAAUGUCAUUCCAAUCCUCAGGGAACGCCAUCAGCUCAUUUCAUUCAUUCCCCCUUUUCUUGGCAUUCACGAUAGCUUCCCAAUCUUUUUUCGUCAUUUCGGCCUUGCAUCUGAUGCAAAGCCGAAGAUGCUUCUUGGCAUGGGCCGCGUUGUCAGCGGUCUUCUUUUCCAUAACCUCUUUUUCUUUAAUAUUCACCAUAUUGACCUGAAAUAAAAACGAACUUUUGUUAAUUUCUUUAUCUUCGUUUUCCUGGUCGGCUAAUAUGAGCCAACCCUCGUCUAUUUCUUCUUGAAUCUGCCUUUUCGCAGUCGCUUUUCCUUUCCCUUUCAUGUUCACGGCGUUGACCUGUGAUGGAAAAAGAUUCUUAUCAAUUUCCAUAUCUCUAUUUUCUUGGUCGGCAAAGAUCAACCGACCCUCAUUUAUUUCUUUUUGAAUUUGCCUCUUAAAGGCAAUACAUUCACUAGUUUUAUUUUAUGGCUCCAUGAAUGGUGCCAUUUGCAGUAUCUUCUGUGUUUCAGUUCUUCUACAGGAGGUAUAGUUUGACCUUCCUGUAGUUUGAUUCGUCCAUCCUUUAACAACCGAUCGAAAAUAAGAUCGGUCUUUGCUAUGUCAAAUGAAUAACUAAAUGCUGAUAUUUGUGCUUUCGCUUCUCUCGACUUCGCAGGUUUUAGCAAAGCACGUUUGUACGGUUGACUAUUCCUCACCAUCUCGGCAGCAGAGAUUUCGGCCUCAUCAGCCGAAUCUUCUGCCUCUUCAGAUGAAUUCGGCUCUUCAUGAGCCGAGGACUCUUCAAAGAAAGAAAUAUUUUUCUCUUUUCCUUUAUUCCAAUCUUUGUUUCGGCUCCAUCUAGGCCGAUCUUCAUUAUUCCCUUUUCGAAAUUGCUCGUAUUGAGCAACUCGAACUCCCAAAUCAAAAAGAUUUGGAAAGAACUUAUCUUCAAAAUGAUCUUUAAUCUUAAAAUGCAUGCCGUUGAAUGCCAUUUUGGCAAAUUUCGAUUCCGGCAUUCUUACGAAACAUCGGCUUCGAGCCGACUUGAAUCGGUUUAAAUAUUCAUCAACCGAUUCUCCUGUUUUUUGUCUGAAUUGAGCCAAAUCUGCAACCGACAACUCUGGCUUGGUUCUAUAGAAUUGCUCAUGAAAUUUACCCUCUAAUUCAUCCCAGUCUCGGACGGAAUUAGCAGGUAGAUUUGUAUACCAAGUGAAGGCUGUCUUGGUCAGUGAAGAUUUGAAUAACCUUAAUUUUAAAAAAGGAUCUGCCGCUGCUUCACGGCAUUGGGUUGUAAAUCGAGCGACAUGUUCGACCGUAUUUUCGGUCUCAUCACCGAAAAAUUUGUCAAAUUUCAGCAUCUUCCAAUUUGCCGGAUAUGGGUGUUCUACAUCUAUAUUUGCAGGAUAUGGUGAUCUAAAUACAGGCCGCAUUGCCGGCCUUGUGCCUACUCCGAAAGUGUUUCGGAUUGCCUCUUCUAUUUGUGCAUAUAUCUCAUUGUUAAUUCCUUGGAAAGGAACUUACGCUGGUACCAGGUUUGGUGGUUGCUGUGCACCGAGAUUUUGUGCUAAGGGAUUAAUCCCUUGUACAUUCAAAGCCUGCCCCCUAGCCCCUACAUUUUGAGGCUGGUGGGCUGUAACUGGAGGGGGUGGAGGUAACCCCCAAGCUACUUCCGGCUGCUGACCGGCGUCACCAACAACCGGUCUAUAAGCCACUUGAUACUGUGCCCCCUGGUAUUGGGGCUGACCAACUACCGGUGUUACUGGAUUCUGUAACACUGGCGUUAUCACAGGCGCUUGUAGGCCUGCUAUCGGCUGUUCAUUCCGAGCUAACAAUUGCCCUAUUCGGGCUAUGUUCUCGUUGGAGGCCGUGAUUGCGGCCAAAACGGCAUCCGGCUGUGCGGUACUUGUGUGACUAUUUUGGUCCAAAGUUUGUAGGACCCGAGUCAUUUGGCCAAGCGCUUGGGUCAAACUAGGCUCCUGUUGGCCAGAUUAACCACUGGUCUCACCCUCAACAGGUAAAACUACUUGGCGCUCUACAUUAUUCUCCGAAUUAUUUGGCUGUUCACUCUCAGAAUUUCUGGGAAUAGCCCUAUUACGGAGAUUCAUGGCAUUAUCAUCAGCCAUGCUUUAUAUAAAAUGCAGAUUUACCUCAAAAAAUGGGUCCCACCGGGCGUGCCAAAAAAUUAUUGGCGGCCGAAAGUCCCGACCCUUGACUCGGUCAAGGAUUCUCCUCGGGAAGAACGUCGGGAUGAUGAGCGGCCGAGGAUUGUGACCCUCGAAGUUUGCGCCCACGACAGAUCAAGCGAUUCGGCUGAUGAGGGAUCGAAUCAGCCGGGUUCGAAAACCUCCACAGUAAAUUUGCUUCGGCGGGAUGAGCCGAAUGAAGAGGGGAAGCCCAGAAUUCGACUGAGGGAUGAGCCGAAUGAGGAGACAACUCGAGAUCUGAUCGGCGAGAAGAGCCGAAAAUGACUUUCUAUUGAAUAGCCGUACAAGAACAGGGGAGAGAUGCCCGUAGGGCAAACAGACUCCAAGUAAAAGAACAAGGGAGUGAUGCCCGUAGGGCAGACAGACUCCAAGUAUGCUAAGUUACGAGAGCUACUCCUAUGAAAAGUGGUAAAUGCAGGAAAGAAAGACGCAGGAAAAUAAAUGUGGUCUUUUGUGCGCAGGGGUGAAGACCCUUUUUCAAGGUAUCGUAUGCCUAUUUAUAGAACCGCCUUUGCGUUAGUUAUUGCUCUUGCACGAUCAGCCACUAUCUCCGGAUUCGUAGGACCACCUUCGGCCGAUCGGAACCGCUCGUAACUGCUUGCGGUUGCUAUAACUCCUCGGUCCAGUGCGGCUCGUAUGCAUCCGGUGUACUCUAGGUCUACCGUUUUAGCCGUCUUACGGAUAUGGACCCGGCGUGCCAGCUGUUUGCGCCUAACUGGCUCAACAAGUUCAAACCCAAUAGUUCCACUAGUCAUGUAGUGUCUUAUAUGAUACUACUACUCAUCUUUAACAUGCAUAUAUAUUUAUAUAUACUUGGACAAGGGAAGGUUAAUAUUUUCAAUGCGAUUUCAUAUGUUUUGACAUGCAUGUUAUAGUCUCAAGCCCUCUACUACAUAGAGAAAGUACACUUUCAUAUAUAACACGCAUAUGCCAUAUAUCCAAAAAUUCUAUGAUGUCAAGAAUAGCAUAAAAAAUCAUCUAUUAAAUCCUAUAACAAGAUAAGAGACAUAAGGGGAGUUCUAGUCAAACCCACCAGAUAGUCUUCGAAAACUUGAUCGUUUUCCAAAUGAAGUUGUCCUUUAGACUUCUAGCACCCUAAGAAAAAUUUUCAAGGGGUUACAAGCUUCUAAAAAGCUUUCCACGAAUUUCGAAGCUUCUAAAAAGCUUCGAAAUUCACCAAAAAUCAAGUAGAAAAUAGGUGAAAAUUACUUUUGAUCAAGUAAAACUUGUCCAAGGUCCAAACCAAAGUAAUGGGGCUUCAAAUCCAACCUAAAAGAUUGUUCUACACCCAUCAAUUUAACCCCAAAAGCUCAAAAUAGAAAAUCCCCAAAAUAAACUCUAGUUUCUACCAAACUAGAUUUUCUACCAAAAGUUUUGCAAAACUCACAAUUGGAGAAAGCAAGAAGAUCACUAAUCUCAAACAAGCUCCAAACCAAGCUAUAAGAUACUAGGGUUGAAGUCCCAAGCCUCAAAUAAGCUUCUUCCUUCAAUUCCAAACUUUCUUUUAGGUCCUAGAUGCAUGCAUCCAUGGUGGAGAUGAAGAGAAGAAGGAAAAUCCAAGGAUUAGAGAGGUUUGGAGAAGAAAUCCCAAGACAAAAGGGGAAGAACUCACCUAUCUCUCCCUCUCUCAAGCCUCAGCCACAAUAGUGGAUGAGAGAGGUGAAGAGGUAUUAUACAUAAAUGUACAAUAUCCCUAGAGGCUCCUCAAAAACUCAGAAAUUGCAAACUGCAUGAAACAAUCUCUACAACAUUAAAUACCGGUAUAUGAAUUUUAGUAUCGGUACUCGGACAGUUUCGAUACUCGGGGUCUAAUUCCACGAAACACGUACAUUGGAAUCUCCCAUUUCUAUUGCGUUCUGGUACCCGCCCGAUACAGUACUAGUACUUGGCUCAGUACUGGUAUAUAGAGCCGAGUUCCGCAAAACUAGAGAACUGCCCAUUUCGGCACUAUUGAAUUUUGAUACCUCAAACCCAGUACUGAUACUCAACAAAAAAGCUACACUUUGAAAAUUUUGAUGUCAGGAUACGUUCUUGCACUCAAUAAGCUUCGAAAAUCGGUCGAUACCCUCGAGACAUCAAUCAAAACUUCUAGAAUAGCUCAAAAUGCUAUACUCACACUAGAACCUUGCAAUUUGCUCUAAAGUUCAGUGCACUAUAGAUGGCUUCUCGAAUACCACCACAUCGGUCGCUCUAGUUUUCUCAAGUUGAAGUUAAGCUACUGUGAGCUCCUCUCUAUAGUGGAUUGGUUCCUCCAACUCUAUAGACCCUGCUCUGAAUGAGCACCUCUCUAUAGUGGAUUGGUUCCUCCAACUCUAUAGACCCCGCUCUAAAUGAGCACGGAAAGACAUACACCAUGCUCACAUCUGCGAAGCUUUCUUUGGCUGAUUUUUUCUGUUUUUGUUUCUUUUCUUUUGACUCUCUUGCUGUUUCGGCCGAGGAAUCACUUUCUGGCCGAACCUCCUCUCUUUGGGAGGCCACCUGUCUCACUUGAUAAUAGUCUCCAAAGAGGUGAUUUUCUCCUCUAACGCUUUUCGUGUCACCUUCUUUACUGGUGCCAACCGCUCAAUUUUGGACUUUAACCAAGGCACGGGUGUUGAAGCACUCGCUUCAUGAUCAUUUUUCAUAGGCUGAAAAGACGGCUAUAAUUCAGGUCGUUUCCAUACAUUCGGCCUAAUCCCUUUUGCUUCUUUCCCAGUAAUGUCUCGCCUCGACUUGCAUCAUCUGUUGUCGACGCUUCUGAGUUUUUGUCAAUAUCAGCCCAUGCCAUUUGAUCGGUGCUCUUACUGUGUGCCAUUGAUCAACUAGUACAUUCGCUGGUACCUUGACAGUCCUGAGGUGCUCUCUCAAGAUUUCUCGUCUCUCCCAUAAUCUCGGCCAUGGUUGGAUACCGAGUUCGUUGACCAACCUUCGACCGAGAAAUUCUAUGUCACCCUCGGUCAUUUCUUCGAAUUCGGUCUUGGGUCUCGGCAUGGGCUGAUGAUGCUAGUUAGGCCGAUUUUUCGCGUACCUUUGCUAGAUGCCGAAGGAUUUCUCUAGGUAAUUCCUUCGGCUCAUCCUCUCUCUAGUUUGGUGAUGGUAAUAAUCAUCUAGGACCUUUUGAAUUAAAAGAUCCUUCCUAACUUCCUUGGACUCCACUUCCUCUUUAGAGUCAUUUGAAUCCUCCACCGAACAGUUGUCCGAAUCACCUUCUGCCUCAGGCAGAUCUUCUCAUUCUUCGGGGAACGCCAUGAACUCCUUCCAUUCCCCAUACAGUUUCUUCUCCUGAAUGAUUGCUUCCCAAUCACGUCGUAUCAUUUCGGCCUUGCAUCGUAUGCAUAGCCGAAGUGUCCUCUUUGUGCUGGCAAUGUCUUGCUCAACCUUCCCUUCAACCGGUGCCUUCUGUUUAAUAUCUACCAUGUUGACCCGAGAAGGAAAUGAAUUUGAUCAAUUUUCAUAUUAUUUUUGUUUUCUUGAUUGGUAAAGAUGACCCGACACUCAUUUAUCUCUUUUUGAAUUUGCCUUUUAAAGGCCGUGCAUUCAUUCGUUCUAUGGCUCCACGAAUAAUGCCAUUUACAAUAUUUUUUCUUUUUAAUUCCUCUCCAGAAGGUAUUGUUUGACCUUCCUAGAGUUUAAUUCUACUAUCUUUUAACAACCGAUCAAAAAUUAAAUUGGUUUUUGCUAUAUCAAAAGAAUAUGUAUACGAUGUAACACAUGCUUUAGCCUCGCUAGCCUUAGCUGGUUUUAACAAAGCACAUUUAUACAGUUUACGAUUUUCUACCAUCUCUGCCGCAUAUAUUUUGGCUUCAUCAGCCGAAUCUUCUAUCUCAUCGAAAGUGUUCAGCUCAUCUUAAGCUGAAGUUUCCUCAAUAAAAGAGAUAUUAUUCUCUUUUCCCUUAUUUCAAUCCUUGUUUCAGCUCCAUCUUGGCCGAUCAUCAUUAUUUUCUUUCGUGAAUUGCGCAUAUUGAGCAACUCAGACUCUCAAAUCAAACAAGUUCGAAAAAUACUUAUCUUCAAAGUGACCUUUAAUUUUGAAAUGUAGACGAUUAAAGCCAUCUUAGCAAAUUCCGACUCUAGCAUCCUAACAGAACAUCGACUCCUUGCCGUUUUGAAUCAGUUUAAAUAUUCUUCAACCGACUCACCCGACUUUUGCUGAUACUGAGCUAAAUCAGCAACUGAUAAUUCCAAUUUUGAUCAAUAAAACUGCUUAUGAAAUUUUUUUUCUAAUUCGUCCCAGUCUCGGACAGAAUUGGUAGGCAGACUAGUAUACCAAGUAAACACCGUUUUGAUUUCGACGUGUUAAACAAUCAAAGAUUCAAAAAUGGAUCUGCGGCGGCCUCCCUACAUUGGGUCGUGAAUCGCGCCACAUGUUCGACCAUAUUUUCAGUCUCAGCACUAGAGAGUUUAUCAAAUUUCAAAUUUUUUUAAUUUGCCGGAUAAGGAUGUUCUACAUCGAUGUUUGCAAGAUAAAGAGAUCGGAAUACAGGCCGCAUUGCCAGCCUAGCUCCUAUUCCAAAAGUAUUUUGGAUAGCUUCUUCAAUCCGAACGUAUAAUUAUUGUUCCCUAGUACGAGAAUAGGGGCUUGUACUUGGGCCGGAUUUGGCUCUGGCGGAAACCCAUAAUUUUGUACUACAAGACUCACACCCUACAUAACAAUGUUGGCUUGCCCCCCAGCCCUUAUCCCCAAGUUUUGGGGCUGAUACGCCGACUAAGGUGGAGAAGGUAAACCCCAAGCCACUUCGAGCUAUUGACCGGCAUUUGCGUUCGCCGGUCUAUAUGCAGCCUAAAAAGGUGUGGUUUGAGGCUACAUAAUCGCCGGAAUUUCUGGAUUUGGUAACACCGGCGUGACCACAAAUCCCUGUUGACCUGCCACUGGUUCUUCAUUGUGUGCCAGCAAUUGCCCAAUUCGAGCAAUAUUUUCAUUGGAGGUCGUUAUAGCUGCCAAUACUACGUCCAGCCGAGCAGUACUUCGAUGACUAUUUUGGUCUAAAACUUGCAAGACCCAAGUUAUCUGUCCAAAUGUUUGCAUUAAAUUCGGCUCUUGAUGAGUCGAUUGUCUACUAGUUUCAUUCCCGACCGGCAAUACAGCAUGAUGCUCAUUUGCAUUCUCGCUACUGCUUGCCUAGUCAUUCCCUGAAGAUUGAGAAACAAAACGGUUGUGGAGAUUCAUGAUGUUAUCGUCGGCCAUAAUAUAUAAUAAAUGGAAUAUUAUCUAAAUUGGGUGCCACCGGACGUGCCAAAAAUUAUUGCUAAUCGAUUUCUUUGACUGCUGACUCAAUCAAAACCCUCCUUCGGGAAGCGUGCUAGGAGGUAGAACAACUACUAUUGAUGACCCUCAAAGUUUGCGCCCACUGUCGAAUCAAGCAAUUCAAUUGAUGAGGGAUCAAAUCAACCUAGUUCAAUAUCCCACAAUAACUUCGGUUCGACUGGAUCAGCCGAGUCCAAAAACCACAGUAUUUUUCGAUUCGGCUGAAGAGCCAAAUGAUGCUUAUAUAUUGCUUAUAGUUGGAAAAUGUUUAUAGAAGAGGGUGCAUUGCUAUGGCUUACGAUCUCGAAGGAAAAUCUACUCUACAAACUACUCCUAGAAAAGACAAUAAAUGCAAGAAAAGUAAAACGAUUAUAGGUAGACUACUCAUAGAAAGCAAAAAAUGCAAGGGAAACAGAAACUGGUCUUCUUGUUUACAAGAAAAAAAGAUCUCUCUCUAUCAGACGUCUCUUAUCUAUUUAUAAUUCCGCCCAUUGUUAUUCAGUUAUUCCUAUGAUCGGCCACAUCCCUGAUUUUGUGGGCUACUACUAGCCGAUCUUAACCGCAUAAGCCUUAACUGCUUUUCGAUUUUCGAUGCGUUCUUCUCUACUCCUGACGCACCAUAUGUCGCUUAUCCCUGACCUCAAGGGCCAUGCUUUAGGUGCAUUCUGGUUCACCACGUGGCGUGAUUUUUAUGGCGCCAACAGUUCCUCACCACCUUUUCUCUCCCUUUCUACUUCAAUGAUAAAAGAAAAACUACUCAAUAAAGAUGAAUAGGGAGGAAAAGUGAUGAAGGAAUUCUUGAUCUUUCAUCAUCUCCCUCCUAGCAUGACAACAUCACUUUCCUCUUCGUUCCUUAUCACAUUUUCUCUCUCUUUCAACUUCAAUGGUGAAAGAAAUUUUUUUUUACUUGGUAGAGAUGAAUAAGGUAGAAAAGCAAUAAAGGAAUUCUUCAUCCUUCAUGGAUUUGGGAAGCAUGCAUAAAGAGGACACCACCCAAUGGGACAAAUGUGAAGAAGGCCAGGGAGAAGAGCUGUGAAGGUGUUAAGAAAGGAGACGAAAACUUCAUAGAAAAUUCAUUGUGUUAUGGAGAAUCAAAUAAUAGUCUAAGCUGGUUCAAUUCAUUUGAUAUCGAUUUGGUCUAAAAUUUAAAAUACAAAAUCAUCUCCAACUAGCGAUCAUCACUAUAUAUGUUAUUUUAGUUUAUUAAAAAAAUUUUGUAUAAAAUAUUUGUCAAGCCAAACACUACAAUAAAAACGGUGUAUAGCGACACUUUUAAAUGUCGGUAUAAAUAAAAAAAUAAAUAUUACUGGCUAAAUUAUCGACACUUUUUAAAAAUAUUGCUAUACGUGGCGUCACUAUAGAUAGGGCCGCCUUGACAUUUGUCACCCACUCCUCUAACGACCUGUGACGGAAAGAUAUAUGGCAAUCGUAGCUCUCUACGGUCCCUGCGAGAUCCUCGCGGCUGAACUCCAACCACCGGAGCCCAACGUCGUCGGCUGCAGCGGCGGAGGGGAAUAAGGGGAGAUGGUGAUCAAUUUUUCUUUCUUUUUUCCUUUUUUAUUUGUAAUCGGGCCAAAUGAGCUGUGUGCGGUUGGUUGAGUAGAGAAAUUUUUGUUUUUGAUUGGAUUGAGCUUUAUAUUUAGGCCUCAGUAGAUUUUUUUAAAAAGUUUUGGUAUAAAUGGGACACUUAUAUAAAAGUAUCCCAAAAUUGUGUCUAUAUAACCUAAUUCUGUUGUAGUUAAAGCUACAAACGAAAAAUCAAAUUACGCACUAACUUGUUUGAGCUUCAUAUCAGCACAAAAUUUUACCGUAAGCUUCCUAAUAUUUUAUCUACUGAAUAAACUAAUUUUCGUUAGGUUCUGAGAUCAUUCAGCCAGCUAAUAAAUUUUUUUCAUUAUAAUAAUAUGAUUAACUAGUUAUAGGAGCAGAAUUUAGAUUAUUGUGGAAUUUAGGGUAAGUCCUUAGAAUAAUCAUGAUUAUCUCUUGAGGAAUAUUCAGAAUAUUCACAGAUCAAAAUAUCUAUAAAUUAUCAUGUUAUAUUUAGGCCCUGUUUGGAUGGUUACUUUUUUGGAGUAAAGUAUACCUAUGCUAUGGGUGUAGGAAAAAAAUCCUAAGAGGUGUUUGGAUGCUUCAAAAACACCCCAACAAAAUAGGGUAUAGUUAAACUACACCCCAAAAAACAGAAUAAAAGUAACCUCUAAAAUUUUCUCUGGAAAAAAAAUUAUGCUAUUUUUUUUGGGCCGCCUCCCCACUUGCCCGACUUUCUCUGGCGCUUCUCUCUCCCUCCCGUUGCCCUCUCCACGCUUCCUCCCAUCCUCUCUCUCACCUGAGCCACGUCUCUCUCACCUCAGCCGCCGCCGCCGUGGAUCUCGGCCACCACCGUUGCCAUCUCUCGGGCUGCCGCCGCCACUCUCCGCUGCCAUCUCGUGCGCUACUACCGCCGAAGUCACGAUCACCUCGGCUGCCGUCGUCGCCGCACUAACCUCGGCUACCAUUUUCUUGCCUCGAUCUUGUCUCGCCCUUCUCGCCCCUCGCCUUGCAAUGGCCGGAGAAGGCCAACCCCAUUUCCCUCCCCCAACAGGUAACAAAGAAAUGAUCUGAUUUUUUUUUUUUUUUCAAUAGGUUAGAUUUUGAUUGAUUCAUUAAUCUUCAUUAGGACUUUAUGUAAGAAUUGAUAUCUGUAACACAUGAACUCUAUCUUCUGCCUUUCAUGGUGGCAGGAUUUAGCCAUAGUAUGCCAACUGUUAAUUUGAGUUUGCAAUAAUUUCCUUUGUGACUCCAAAUGAGUUGGUUGAUGAUUAAAGCAGGCCAUUAGGACUUAGAUGAAGUGUUAAUUGUUUAUCCUUUUUGAUAGUUCCGACUACCCUGCAACUUGAUGAAUAAUGGCGAUACUCUGAGAAAACGAGGUUUUAUACUUAUAUGUAGGAUGGUCGUUCUGCUGUUUUCUCAGGAGGCAAAGCAAUAAUGCAUAGUUAAUUAUGUUAUGACUACGUCUAGUUUAUACUGGUUUCUGUUUGCCAUGGCUAAAAAAUCUGAUGAUGAAAUGUCAAGCAUGCCUAUGACUAGAGAGGCGCCAAGAUUUAUUCGCCAGUUUUAGUUAUAUUGUUGUAGAUAUUCCAAAUUGGAUGGAAGGAGAAUUUGUGAAAAUCUUGUUAGGUGAGUCCCUUUGAUGAACUUGUUGUAUGUUUUAAAUUUGGUUUGAACCGGCCGGCUGAUCUAAUUGGUCGAACCAUUACCAAGUGCUCAGGUCAGUCCUUGUUAACACAUGAAACUCUAGGAGUUCAAAAAACAGCAUCAAGCCAAAUGUCUUUAUUCUUUAUGCUUGAUCAUUUAUCAGCUGGUCAAAAAACAAUGGACACAUUCUUAGGAUGCUAAAAUGUGUGCUUGAAGUUUAUUUUUUUGCAUUUAUAAGCGAUUAUUGGGUUAAUUUUUGGUCAGGCUAUGUUAGAAUAAAGUCCAGAUUUGGGUUUAUUUUUGUCUUCAAUUUGUGUUCAAUGUAAGCUAGAUGGUCAAUUUGUUUAGGCCCGUAGAAGCUUCGGUUUGUGUUCAAUUUAUUCCUUUUGUAAUUAUUUUGUUCAUAUUUGUAUGUAUUCAAAUAUUGUCACACACUGUUUGUCAUGAUUAGAAUAGCCUUCUCGAACUAAUUUUGCAAAUUUUUCAAAUUUAUUCCUUUUGUAGCCUUUCCAACGGCUAAUUUUUCAAAUUUUAAUUUUUAAAUUUUAAAUUUUAAAAUUAUUUAAUAGUUAAUAAUUUAAAUUUUAAUUUUAAACUUUUAUUUUAAAUUUUUAGAUCUUAAAGUCACUUUAAUAGUUAAUAAUUUAAGUUUAAACUCUCAAGACUAAUUUUUGAAGAUUAUCAGAAAUUCUAUAAAAUUGUAUAAUGUGUAUCCAAAUAGCUUUUAAAAUAAACCCGUGGAAUUUUUUUGGAGUUACAGGAUACUCCAUUUCAUUUGGACAAAACUACGGUAUUUAAACUCUAUAGAAUUUAUUUACUGCUCAUCCAAACAGGGCCUUAGUUUUAGCGCCCGAGGUUAUUAUAAUCUAUAUCAUCAAAACAUAGUUUAUUAUAUAAGAGCUAGAAAUUACAAUCGCUUCUAUAACUUUUUUUAUAUAUGCUCAAAUGACUGGAAUUAAUGAUAACCUUUCGAAGCUUUAUAUACCUUUGUUUGGUUGAAAGUUUUGUUUAGAAGUAUUGAUAAUUUGCCAAUUUUUAAGACAUGCUAAUUUGAUUACAACUAAUUGUAUGUAUAUAUAGAAGCUUUUUCUUUCUAUGGUUGGAAUACAUGUUUAGAAGCUUUGGUCGUUCGUAAAGUUUUCUAAUGUCCUUAACUAUAUAUAUAUAUAUAUAUAUAUAUAUAUAUAUAUAUAUAUAUAUAUAUAUAUAUAUAUAUAUAUAUAUAUAUAUAUAUAUAUAUUUCAAGAUGCCCUCAACAAAUAGGAACUAUUUGUAUAAAUAGAAAUUUUAUAUUUAUAUGGCCGGAGUACAUGUUUAGAAGCUUUGAUAUUUGAAAAAGUUAUUCAAAUGUGCUCAAUAUGUAUGAAAUCUCUCUUUUUAAGGUGGAUAUACAUGUUUAGAAGAAUGAAAGUCGUAAACCUUUUGUCUGUUAUGUUUCUAGUUUUGGUAAUUUGCCGACUACUCAGACGUGCUAAACUAAUUACUUGAAGUUUAUUAUGUACACUUAUUUGUUAUUAAAUUUUGUUAGAAUGUGAUAUAAAUUAAUGAGGUGAUAAUAUAUGGCCAAUUUGUAUAAAAAAUCUAGUAGUUUUGAGAUUUUGCUAAAGCAAGCCACUAUUUUGGAUUUAGCAGAUUCGGUUUGGAUUUUCAGAAAACUGACCAGAAUAUCUUUAAUUAUUCCUUUCUCUUUUCUUUCUUUUUCUCUUGUUCUUCUAUUUUAUUCUCUCCAAAGAGAGGCGGAUCAGGUGGCCCACCUUGCCUCUGCCCGGCACGCAAUCCCCUGCGCCUGCACACACCCACCCUCUAAUGUUGUGCUUAAUUGUGCAAUUUACAUCCCAAAGAGUGCAACUUACGUCUAUAACAAUAUAACACUAUUCUAAAACAGUGCAACUUCAUCUCCAUCUUCCUUCUUCUCUAGUGCUUCUCUUUUAUCCCCUAAUUUUUGGCCUUUAGUUUUUUUUUUUUUUUUUUUNAACAAGUGCUUAGCUAGAGAUGCUCCCGUGCACUCCCCGGCCCUCCUUGCCUUCGACCCCGCCGAGGCUGCCCUCGCCACCACCCUUUGGGACACCGCCUCCGCUUCCGCCGCCCUUUUCUCCAGUAUCGUUGUGCGCUCCUUCGUCUCCACCUCGCUUUUCGCCGGUCCAGGGUGGGCGGUGGGCCAUGUGCCCCCUUCCUCACCGGCGAGCUUCUCGGCAUCGAGAAGUGCUUCCUCUUCGUCAUCGGCGGCAGUGGUGAGAACGGUUGGUUCCCGAAGUUGGUUUGAUGGGUGAAAAAUCUACUGCAGUAAAAGUAGAGGGCAAAUGGCGGAGAAAGAGGAUACGGUGUCAUCCUCGUUACCAUCGCGGAGGGCCACAGAUGCGGUGGAGGGUUGGAGAGAAAAAGAAAAGAAGAUCAAGGCGCGGUCUCGACGGGGUUGGAGAUGAGGAGGGUGGGGGGUGCGCGGGCACGGGAAAGAGGCGAGGCGGGCCACCUCCGCUUUCGCCGCUCUCUUUGGAGAGAGAGAGAGAGAGAGAGAGAGAGAAAGAAAGAAAUAAUGAUAUUUUGAUCAAUUUUCUGAAAAUCUUGACCGAAUCUGCAAAAUCCAAAAUUGUAGCCUACUUUUGCAAAAUUUCAAAACUAAUAGAUUUUUUAUGCAAAUUGGCCAUAAUAUAUUGAUAAUAUUAUAUAUUAGUUAAUAUUUAUGUAUUAAUUAAUAUUUAUAUAUUAAUUAUCAAUUAAUUUAUAUAUUCAUAUUAGCUCAAGGUUGAAUAGAGGGGUUUUUAUUUUAGAAUUGUAAUCACCUAUUUUUCCGACUUGUCCCGUUUAUUCAUCAAAAUAGGUAUUCUUGGCAUUUUAGAAUUCCAACUACCUAUUUUUUCAACUUUUCCAGUUUAUUUAGCAAAACGCUAUUUUGCUCAUCCUGAGAAUAACAUAGUUCUCAAUUAAAUGCAAACUUGAUCUUAUUCUUACUUAUUCUAAAAAUUAUACAUACGUUUCAGAAAUAAGCAGCCGAACAAGGUGACACCUAAAUGGCAGCAAAUUUUUGAGUGCAACCCAAAAAGGUUUAUAUGGGAAAUGGACCUGAGGGUCACUCAUGUGAAUAAAAAGUUAUAAAACAUAAAUCAGUUUAACCGUAGUAAGUUGCCACUCCAUUUGGUUAGGGGAUUAAGUGGGGAUAACAAAAGUUAUCCCCACUAUUCCACCAAACUGAGUAUUUUUUUACCAGAAUAUUUUACUUCGAUUAAAUUUUGUUAUUCCUCCCGGUUUGAUUUCAAAUUUUCUUAAAAUUAUAAAUUGAAUUAAAAGUAAAUUAUGCAGACUUAAUAUAUUAUAUAUUAUAAAAAUUAUUUUUCUAAUUGUACUAUAUUAAUACAUAAUAUUUAUACUUAAACAUUAUACUAAAUUAUAUAUAAAUAUUACAAUAUAUUAUUUUUAUUAAAUGUAAGCUUAAGUAGACUUUGAAAAUAUAUAUAUAUAUAUAUAAUUAUAUAUUUUUAUUAAAUAUUAUAAUAAAUUAUUUUUUUAAUAAAUUAUUUUUUACAAAUUAUUUUUAUUAAAUUAUAUUUUUUUUAUCAUAUUCAGCUAUCAUAUUUUUGACUAUCCUCUACUAUUUCAUAAAAUUAAACAAAUAUAAUUUCAGUUAUUCCUGCUAUUUUUUAUUAAUUGUACAGUUUGUACUAUAUUGAUAUAGUGUUCCAGAGGUUUGGAUAGGAUUGGCUACAGUAUUAGUGACUGGUCGACAAGUCUGGAGAGUGUCGGACUGAGUCGGAGUCGUUUCUGCACGAAGAGUCGUUUCUGCACGAAAUGGAUGCGGAAAUGGACUUGGCGCACUCAAAUAAGCAAAACUGGAGUUUUGCCAGAUUCGGGCGCCCAGAACUGGCCUUGGGUCGCCCAGAAGUUGAGUGCAGAAUUGAAUUGAACUGGAAGCCAAUUUGGGUCCAUGUUUCGGGAGCCCGGAUGUGGGUCCGAAAAUCCACUUUGGAAGUAUCGAUCGUGCUGACGCGUGGCUGGUGGUAGGUGAGGUCCGCCGGAGCCGGAUAUGGGCACAGCAUACCGCGGGCGGAGAGUCCGAUGAGGGAGCUUUUUGUAGCCUAGAUGAUUCGGGCGCCCAUAAUGUGGGUUCGGGCGCCCGAAAAAGCCCGUGUCUGCAGGGACACCAGAUUGCAGCAGCUGUUCUUGGGGCUUAUUCUACCAUUCCAGCACCCUAUAAAUAGGUGGAGAGUGACCCUGAUGAGCUCUUUUCACUCUCUCUUCACAGUAGCACCUCUGAUUUCUCCUCCACCCCUCGAUUUUUCUCAAAUUGUAUCCAAUCUUUCAAUUGGAAGGUGGUGGAGUGCUGAUUCUGUAGUUUUCUAGCGACGACCUUCGGUGUUUUGGCUCGUGUGCGACGUAGGAAGGUCGGAUUGCGGUGAAACUUGGUUUGCUGGAUUCUAGACUUCCAGAGAAGUUCAGAAUUGCAUAUUUUGGUUGAGGUUAGCUUGGUCGAUUUCAUAUUUUUCUAGACUAUUGGUGACAUUGAGCUGAAAAUCUGAUUUUUGGAUUUUUCUUGGUGCUAUCUUUGGAGGCAGGGUGUUUUUGGACCUGAGACACAUACUCCAUCCUACUCUACUAGAUUUGAGAUCUUCCAUACCAGAUUUGGAUGUGAUUAGGUAAGUUUGGACAUUGGAGUUGGGUUAAUUUAGCUUAAGUGCUGAAAAUUUGUGUUGAUUGUGACAUUUUGAUGGAUUUUGGUGGAUUUGGAAGUUCAGAUCUGAAUUGUGGACCCUUGCUGGCUGAGAGGGAGUUCGGCUGAGUUUCCAGUAUCUCCGAGAUCUUCUUGCUGCCAGGAAUUAGCUUUUGAGGUGGGUGUUUUAUCGGUUUCGCUCUUAAGUACUUGUGUAGUCGACAUGAAUGAUUUCGGUUCUUUUAUAUCAUAUUGUAGCUCAAAUUCAUUGAUUGUAGUAUGUAUGAAAUCUGAAUUGGGAGCAUGAUUAUUAAUUAGAUGAAUAUACACGUUGGGCUUGGAACUUGACUUAGGAGAAAACCAGCGAUUCGACCUGUCAUAUGAUUCUACUACCUAAUUUAGCUCUAGGAGCCGUGGUUUGAUUGUAUCACUACUGUUUCAGCACGGUGGAUACCUGGGGUAGUUUAGAAUGCAUUUACGCUUGUGCUGGGAUGCCAAGCUUAUUUUUACAGUAGAGUCUAGGCUGUUUCAGGUUGUCGGGUGCCAUUGGGGUGGACGGUGGACCCAGAUUUCUGUUUUUGGUCUCAGAUUGUGCCGAGGGCACGUGGGUUUGGUUUCUAGACCUGUUUUGACCCUAGCUACUUGACUUUGGCUUGUUAGAGCCUAAUUGAGCUCCACAGAUAUACGCUGCAUACUCAGUUGGGUAGCUCCCACGAGUGCCACUCCGGAGACGGGCGCUGUGCUUUUGCGUUGGUGUCGUUCAUGCAGGUUGGACUUGCUCUCCACUAACUGGUUAGUGUGGAGGUAGCUGUAUAGUCGCAACCGGGCGGGACGGGUGUGUUCACAGUCCCAGGAACAGGUAUGAUUACAGUCCUUAUUUGAGAUUGGGUCUGAGUUGACAUUAUUCUACAGAGGGUUAGAGUUAAAGCAUGAUAGUAUAGUGGUAUUUAGCUGUAGAUUUAUUCCAGCUUUCUUUACUAUUCCUGCUUAUCCCUGUAAACUUAGUGGGUGGACCGAUGAGUUUGAAGGCGGUAUCCACUGAGGACUAUUUCUUUUUGUAGUACUUCUCACGCCCAGUUGUUACCACUGUUUUGCAGAGCCGUCGCCUUCGGCUGCUGCUGUUGCUUAUCUUGAUCGUGGCAAGGGCGUCGCGAGUUAGAGCCCUUCCAGUCAAGUCGCAGAGCCAGAGGAGCACCAGCUACAGGUAGUUGUAAUUUUUGGGUCUUUACAUACAGUUGUUGUUAUCUCGCCAGAGCGAGUAUUUGUGUACCUGGAUCACAUGUAUGUAUUAAACCACAGUUUUUAUAUAUGGUUUAUUUUCUUAGCUGCUCUGUACUACUGUUUGUAGUAUUGUAUGAUUACAGGUACUUCUACUUUUCGCUUCGUAUAUAGGAAAAAUACCUAUGUAUACGGCGGGUCUGUUAGCGAGCCUGGGGAAAUGAGUAAUCCGGGGUGUGACAGAUUAAGUUGGUAUCAUAGCUUUGCAUUAGGUCGUUGGGAUCUAGGAAACCUAAGUUGUCCAAUCUUAGGAAAGUAAGACGCGAGAGGUGUGAUUUAUCGCGAAAGUCACUGAUUGAAGCGGAGGGAGUGAUUGAAAGAGUUUCUGUUUCGGUCCAGAAAAAUUAUGUUUGCUGCAGACGACAUAAUUUUGAAGAGAAACAGGGGCCGCCUUCUAGACUUUCGUUGAUUGGGUCGAGAGUGUUUGUUUGAUCUGACUCCGUUCUGUUUCUUGCAGCUAUGUAUCGUCACCGAGGUCGACCGUCUACGCGGGAUCGUGCACAGUUGACUCAGGAUCGUGCCGUACCUCCUGAGAUGUUGGAGCAGGCAGAGGCGAGUGCACCCCCUGUUGUGGAGUAGACGGCCCGACCGAAGAUGGGUGUACCUCCCGACUUGAGUGCACAGUUGGCUGCCCUGAUGGAGGUGACGAGGCGACAGAGGGAGUUGUUGGAGAGGAUGUGUGAGAGGUUAGCUCCGCCCCCGAGUUCAGCACCAAGAGCACCAGAGUCAUCAGCUCCACCCCCGACUACUCCGGCGGCAGCACCAGCUGCAGUUGUACCCCCGCCAGUGGAGAUUCCUGUGGCACCCGUUGUGCCUGCUAGGGGGCCAGUACAGAUGACAGAGGCCGAGCAGGAGCGGUUGACAGAGAGGCUUGCUCGAUUUCGCCGUUUUGAUCCGCCGAUCUUCGAUGGUAGUUGCACUGAGGCCUAGGUUGCUGAGGGCUGGAUUAGUACGAUGGAGAACCUAUUUGAGGAUCUAUUUGCCUCAGAGAGAGAGCAGAUACAUCUGGGAGUCCACUGUUUGUCAGGCGAUGCUCACGCCUAGUGGAGGAAGAUGAGGCGAGACUAUGGGCUAGUAGCGCUGCAGAUGAAGUGGGACGAGUUCUGUGGAAUGCUGUUCGGGAUGUAUUUUUCCAACAGUGUGAAACAAAAACUCGAGGAGGAUCUGAAGAGGAUUCAGCAGGGCGAGCGGACAGUUUAGGAGUACAUUCGGGAGUUUACGCGACUCCUGAACUUUGUGCUGUUCGUGGCUAGGGAUGAGGCGCACCGAGUUUAUCUCUUUGAGCAGGGUUUGAGACCCGAGAUUUUUCGGUUGGUUCAUGCGCACAGGUUGUAGACCUUGGAUGCGUCGAUGGAGCAGGCUCUUUGGGUAGAAAGGGGUGAUGCCUCCAUUCGGGAGAGGACUCAGGCCGUGGGGCAGAGUCAGGACAUGAAGCACCUCUUUCCAGAUGACGGAGGACCGUUGAGCAGCAGACGUCCGCCGAGGCCUCCACGAUCACGCUCUCAAGGUCGUGGGUCUUCGAGGAGUCAGCGUUCUAGGGGAUUCCGUCAGCAUGGACAGACUCAGAGGACACCGCAGUGUGUGAUCUGCGGGGGACCACACUGGCCUCGGCAAUGCGAGCAGAGAGAGGGCAGGUGUUACAGUUGCGGUCAGCCCGGGUAUAUGAGGUCAGCUUGUCCUCGUGCAGCAUCACCAGCACCAUCCACUGCAUCAGCGCAGCCAGCAUCCCAGCAGUCCUAUGGAGCAGCACCGAGUUUCCAUCAGGAGAACAGAUCGUCUGUACCGCGUCAAGCUGAGCGGUGACAGCAGGCUCCGAGUGGCAGGGUCUAUGCGGCCCAGGUGGAGGACUCUACAGUAGCCAACCGAGUGGUGGCAGGUAUUAUUUUGAUUUCUGGCAUUAGAGCUCGUACACUUUUUGAUACCAGUGCAUCGCAUUUCUUUGUUAGCCGAGCAUUUGUAUUGUUGCAUGGUCUAGAGUUAGGGCCAUUGUCACAGGCACGAGAGGUGCAGAUUCCCGACCAUGUUUUACAGGUUGCAGAGUGUUGUUGGUCAUGUCCGGUGCAGUUAGAUUCUUGGAUCAUGCCCGCAGACCUGUUUGUGUUAGGGCAGCUGCAGGAUUUUGACAUGGUGCUCAGUAUGGAUUGGCUUGCGCGGUACUAUGCUACUAUCGACUGUUGAGCGAGGACUGUGACGUUCCGCGAGCCAGGCCAGGAGGAGUUCACUUUCAGAGGCUGCAGGAGUAUUUCGUUUGCCACUUGGAUAUCUUCGGCGAGGGCUCGACAGCUAAUGAGUAGAGGAUGCGUUGCUUUUCUGGCGACUGUUAUAGAGGUGCCUACGGCGGCGCCGGGACUCGAGGAUAUUCCUAUAGUCCGCGAGUUUCCGGAUGUGUUUCCCCCUGAGUUGACUACGAUGCCGCCAGAGAGGGAGAUAGAGUUUGUGAUUGAUGUAGUUCCUGGAACUGCACCAAUCUCGAAGGUACCUUACCGGAUGGCACCGGCCGAGCUGAGAGAGCUAAAGGCGCAGCUUCAAGAUUUGAUGGAUAAGGGAUAUGUGAGACCCAGUGUGUCGCCUUGGGGAGCGCCGGUAAUGUUUGUGAAGAAGAAUGAUGGUUCGCUCAGGUUGUGCAUAGAUUAUCGGGAGCUGAAUAAAGUGACCAUCAAGAACAAGUAUCCUUUGCCACGCAUUGAUGAUCUGUUUGAUCAGCUGCAAGGAUCUUGUGUCUUCUCGAAGAUUGAUCUCCAGUCUGGUUACCAUCAGUUGAGGGUGAGGGCCAAGGAUGUUCCCAAGACGGCUUUUCAGACUUGGUACGGACAUUAUGAGUUUACGGUGAUGCCUUUUGGAUUGACGAAUGCCCCUACCGCAUUCAUGGAUUUGAUGAACAAAGUGUUCAAGCCGUUGUUGGAUAGGUUUGUGGUAGUCUUCAUUAAUGAUAUUCUGAUAUACUCCCGGAACGAUGCCGAGCAUGAGGAGCACUUGAGGACUGUGCUACAGCUUCUGCGAGAGAAGAAGUUGUAUGCCAAGUUAAAGAAGUGCGAGUUCUGGUUUCGGGAGGUUGCUUUCUUAGGCCACGUGAUAUCUGCGGUUGGAGUGGCAGUGGACCCGAAGAAGAUUGAUGCUAUUCGGGAUUGGCCCAGACCGACGACGGUAACAGAGGUGAGGAGUUUCCUUGGACUUGCUGGUUAUUACUGUCGGUUUGUGGAAGGCUUUGCGAAGCUUUCCACACCACUCACUCGAGAGAAGAAGUUGUGGACUUGCUAGUUCUUACCGUCGGUUUGUGGAGGACUGUGCUACAGCUUCUGCGAGAGAAGAAGUUGUAUGCCAAGUUAAAGAAGUGCAAGUUCUGGUUGUGGGAGGUUGCUUUCUUGGGCCACGUGAUAUCAGCGGUUGGAGUGGCAGUGGACCCGAAGAAGAUUGAUGCUAUUCGGGAUUGGCCCAGACCGACGACGGUAACAGAGGUGAGGAGUUUCCUUGGACUUGCUGGUUAUUACUGUCGGUUUGUGGAAGGCUUUGCGAAGCUUUCCACACCACUCACUCGAGAGAAGAAGUUGUGGACUUGCUAGUUCUUACCGUCGGUUUGUGGAGGACUGUGCUACAGCUUCUGCGAGAGAAGAAGUUGUAUGCCAAGUUAAAGAAGUGCAAGUUCUGGUUGUGGGAGGUUGCUUUCUUGGGCCACGUGAUAUCAGCGGUUGGAGUGGCAGUGGACCCGAAGAAGAUUGAUGCUAUUCGGGAUUGGCCCAGACCGACGACGGUAACAGAGGUGAGGAGUUUCCUUGGACUUGCUCGUUAUUACCGUCGGUUUGUGGAAGGCUUUACGAAGCUUUCCACACCACUUACUCGACUGACUCGUAAAGGAAUUAAGUUCAUCUAGAGUGAGGACUGUCAGAGGAGCUUGGAUGAGUUGAGACAGAGGUUGACAUCGGCUCCUAUCCUUGCCCUUCCAGUGAUGGGGGAAGGAUUUGUGAUUUACAGUGAUGCAUCACACAGUGGUUUGGGCUAUGUGUUGAUGCAGCAUGGUAGGGUAAUUGCUUAUGCUUCACGGCAGUUAAAGAAUUAUGAGAAGAAUUACCCUACGCAUGACUUGGAGCUUGCCGCGGUAGUCUUUGCUUUGAAGUUGUGGCGACACUACUUGUAUGGCGAGCACUGCGAGGUUUUCACCGAUCAUAAAAGUCUCAAGUAUCUGUUCAUCCAGAGGGAGCUGAACUGAGGCAGUACCGGUGGUUGGAGUUACUGAAGGACUAUGAUAUUAGUAUUUGUUGAAACAUAAAAAAAAAAAGAGAGAGGAAUAAAAGAGGAAAAAGAAAGAAAAAAAAAAGGGGGAGAGAAAGAAAUAAAAAAUAGAGAUGGUUUAUGAGAUUAUCCAUGCACCAGGUGCAUGGAUAAAAUUUAAAUUUUGAAAAUAUCUCAUGCACCGGGAGCAUAAAUUACGAAAAGUAGGACGUUCUCGUAGAUACGAACGGGUAUUAAAAAUAGCGUAUUAGCCCUUUCCCUUUCACGUAUUUACAAAAUGCUCCGCUUUAAUCAUAUAAUAUUUUAUUAUAUUGACUAAGGUGUAAUAUGAGCAAAGGGAAAGGACCAAUUCGCAAUAUUCUCACAAUCCCAUCGCAACCAUCCAUUAUCUCAUAAUCCCAUCAUAACCAUCCAAAAUCUCUCCCACAAUCCCACGAUACUAUCGUAACAACCUAUACCCACGAUCCCAUCAUCCCACGAUCCUCAACCAUCCACGAUCCCAUAACCUCCGCACCCAUACGCACGUUUUCCUCAAAUCCUGUUAUAACCACCUCAAUCCCACAAUCAUACGCACGUUUCCCUCAAAUCCGUUGCAACCACCCCAUAAAUACCUCUCGAAAACAAUCAAACAGGGAGAGUUUUUGAAUUUUAAAACCUAUUCCUAAACAAAAAAAAACCCAAUCCCGUUCCUGUGUCUACGAAAGAGAAGAGAAAGGUAAAAAAAAAAUAUUUUUUUUCUUCUCCAAUCAAAGCUCUCUCUCUCUCCUAAAAAGAAAAAUAAAAAAAAAAAGAGAAAGAAAAGAAGAAAAAGAUCUCAGAUCUCUUUCUCUUUCUCUCUCUCUCUCUCUCAAGCACCCACCAUGGCCAAAGCCGUAGUCGCCGUCGACGCCGACGUGGGGCUCCGGAACCUCGACCUCGAGCUCGAGAACUCCGUCAACUACACUACCAUCAAGGUCCUCGGCGGCGACUGCCGCCUCGACUAGGCGUUCCCAAGGCCGUUCGUCUCCUCGCCAACUUCAACUACCCAAGGCCGUCGCUCCUCGUCGACCCCUGCGUCCGAGGCCGCGUCGCUCCUCGGCCGUCCGCCCCUCGCCGACCUCUGCUCCGCCGAGACCGCCCACUCCGAGGCCGCCAUGCUCCUCAUGCUCGCCGACGCCGUCUACGGCGUCGUCACUUCCUGCAGCCCCGCCGUCGACCUGGUCCGCGUCGCUCCUCGGCCGUCCGCCCCUCGCCGACCUCUGCUCCGCCGAGAUCGCCCGCUCCGAGGCCGCCAUGCUCCUCAUGCUCGCCGACGCCGUCUACGGCGUCAUCACUUCCUGCAGCCCCGCCGUUGACCUGGUCCCCUGCGCCCGAGGCCGUCCGCCCCUCGCCGACCUCUGCUCCGCCGAGAUCGCACGCUCCGAGGCCACCGUGCUCCUCAUGCUCGCCGACACCGUCUACGGCGUCGUCACUUCCUGCAGCCUCGCCGUUGAUCUGGUCCGCUGCGCCCGAGGCCGCGUCUGCCUCCUCCAUCUCCUCCUCGGCUUCCCUGCACACGAGCCGUGACGCGCUCGAGCUCCUUGAGCUUUCCUGCGCCCGAGCUCCUCGCUUCUUCCGACCACAAAACCCCGUGCCAAACUCUGUACUUCCCGAUCCCCAACGAUGCGCCCGCGACGACGGACGACGGCGACGGCGACGACUACGCUGGCGAUGAGGAGGAGGACGAGGACCUGGGGAAGCUCCUAGAGCUGUUCCCGCGUCUCCGCCCUCCGGUCUGCGGCGUCGCGCAACCCGUGCGUGCUCCACCGAGCUCCGCUGCGUCUCAGCCGCGUCCCCACCUCACUUUCUUCCUCCGGCCUGCGGCGUCACGCGACCCGCGCGUGCUCCACCGAGCUCUGCCAAGUUCUUCCGAGCUCCGCCGCGUCUCCGCAGAGUCUCCAUAAGUUUCCUCUCCACACCGCACCCUCCACCUAUUCGAUGAAAUCUCCAAAAGAAACCAGAGGAAGCCCGAUCGAUUCGACGGCGGUCGGAACAGCCCUGAUGAGAUCUUGGCGGCAGUGACCUCAUCGGGCGCGGACACCAAGGUGUGGGUCGCGGAGGUGCCUCCCAUGCACUCUGCCGAUACCUUGACCGCCUCGUAGUGGGGCUCGACGCGGAGACCAUCAUCGCUGACAGCCGCGCCGCCACCCGUGGGUUCUCAUCAAUUGACGGGUGCUUGCUGUAGAUGCUGCGGAAUGGCGACGAGUUGAAGCCCGACAACCUCGCUCACCAAUUGUUCGAUGAAACGCUACUGCUCCGACGGAGUUGGCGCCAACGGAUCACGCCCACCAGUUACUUGACGAAAUGCCCAAGAUGUUUACUUUCGACGGCGAACCUGAUAUGUACAUAAAGAGAGAGAGCGGUGCUCUUCUCUUUAUAAAAAAUGCGUGUUAUUAAAAGAGAAAGAGCGGUGCUCUUCUCUUUAUAAAGAAUAUGGCAUCAUCAAAAGGGAAAGAGCGGUGCUCUUCUCUUUGUAAAAAUGUUAUCAAAAGAGAGAGAGAUGUUACUUCUCCAAUGAUAAAAAAGAAAGAGAGAGAGAGCUUUGUUACUGUAGGGAGGCAAGGAAGGGAUUUUUAUCCCGCCUUAGUUGUCCCACGAAUGUAAAAGAGAUAAAAAGGAAUUAUUCAUCUCUGUUAUACUAUAUUUUUAAAGAAGAUAAAGAGAAAAAAUGUAUUCUCUUAAUUCUUCUCCAAUGAAGAGAUGAAAGAAAAUUAGUCGAACCUUUCGAUUUGGUCGAAAUAGAUCGAAUCGAUAUUUAAUUCCACAGUAUGUGAUUUAUAGCUGAGAAUUUGACAAAUAAUAAAACGCGUUCGGAAUAUAUUUUUGAUGAAUUUGAUUUUGAGCUAUAUAUUUUGAUCUCAAAUCUCAUAUGGACCAAACCCAUAUUCAUUUCACAAGUUCACUUCAAACCCAAGUUAAACAUAACCCAAGUCCAAUACAAAUACGAAUCUGGGCCCAAUCCCAUGAUUUGAUUAAAAGAAAAACCAUACGGGCCCAUAUUAAGUCCGAGCCCAUAUGUAAUUCAAGUCUCAACUUGGACCCAUAUAUGAAUAAUGGAAUUUGGACCCAUCCAUGAAAAAGCUAUACCUAGCCCAAGUCCAGAUUUCCCAAUUUUUUGAGCCUAUAACACAAACCAUACGGGCCCAUAAUAAGUCCGAGCCCAUAUGUAAUUCAAGUCUCAACUUGGACCCAUAUAUGAAUUUGAAUUUGGACCAUCCAUGAAGCUAUACCUAGCCCAAGUCCAGAUUUCAAUUGAGCCUGUAACACAAACUAUACAGCCCAUACCCGAAUCCAUAUCCAAAAUGAUUUAGCCCAUACCCGAAUCCAUAUCCAAAAUGAAUUCAGCCAUAUUGAACCCGAAUCCAUAUCCAAAAUGAAACCAUACGGGCCUACAUUGAGCCCAAAUCCAUAUACAAAAUGAUUUGGUCCAUAUUGAAUCCGAAUCCAAAUUAAAAUGAAUUCAGCCCAUAUUAAGCCCAAGUCCAGAGCCAAAACGAAAUGAGCCCAUAUUAAGCCCAAAUCCAAAUCCCAUAUUGAGCCCAAAUCUCACCCAAUUAAUUCCAAUCAAGUCAUACAUGAAACCUAUAUGAAACUAGAGCCUAAUCUUGACAUAUGGAAACUCGGUCAAAUUCUAAAUAUUUGAUUAGAAUUGAUCAAACCAUCUAAUCAAAUCAAUUGAACUCUAAUACAUCUACUUAGAGUUCAUAUAAAUGAAAUUAAAUUAAACUCUAAUACAUACACUUAGAGUUUAAUUUUAACUAAUCCUAACUUAUAAAAUUAGGAUUUAAUUGAUGGUAAACCCAAAUUCAUCUCUUGAUUAGACUCUAAUACAUAUACUUAGAGUUUAAUUUCGACUAAUCCUAACACAUAUAAUUAGGAUUUGGUCCGCAUCUCGCUACAUGGUGCACAUAAAUUCAUCUUAUGGCGAACCCAAAUGAAAUUAAAUUGGACUCUAAUGUAUACGUUUAGAGUUUAAUUUAAAAUAUUUUGACUAAUCCUAACAUAUAUAAUUAGGAUUUAGUUCAUGUGAAACCAAAUUAGACUCUAAUACAUACACUUAGAGUUUAAUUUAAAUCAAAUUUUGACUAAUCCUAAUACAUAUAAUUAGGAUUUAGUUAAUAUUUGGCCUUAUGGUGAACUUAAUUAAGCUCGAACAUAUAAGCAUAGAGCUUAAUUAUACUAGACUUUAAGAUAGAAAAUUAGAGUCUAAUCCAAAAUAUUUGAGCUAAUCCUAACAUAUACAUCUAGGAUGAAAGCUUAAAUCAAAUCCAAUUGGACUUUAUCAUAUAUAUUUAAAGUUCGAUUAACUAAAUCAAACUCUAAUUCAUUUAAUUAGAGUUUAAUUUGAAUCAAAUCUGAUUAAGUCCCAAUGUAUAUACAUGGAAUUUAAUCAACCUUCCACCUUAGGGUGAACAAUAUUGUUAAGCACUGAAACAUAUGAAGCCCAAUCAAGUCAAUUUGAUUAUACACUUUGAUUCAGAAUCAAAUUCAAUCAACCGUCAUACUGAAUUAUGUUAUAAAAUCCAUCUUUUAUUCAAUCACAGCAUUACAAAUGUCUCUUAAUCGAAGGUGCCCUAACACUUUGUAGGGGUAAUUAACAAUGGACGCUUGCGUUUAUUAGAAGCCAUGAAUCCACAAUACCUGAUUCCCAUACAUAUUCAAAUAUUAAUCUGAAUCAUGAAUACUAUCCCACGGUGAAAAAUCAAAAUUAAAUUAACCGUGCGGGGUAUGUCAUUCGUGGUCGCAGACAGUAUUCAGUAUCAUCCCGGCAAGGCAAAUGUGGUGGCAGAUGCGUUGAGCAGGAGGACAGUGCAGAGCUUGAGCAUGUUGAUCACUCAGCAGAGGCCGUUACUCGAGGAGCUGCAGCAACUGAGGCUCGAGAUAGUGUCCCCUGGAUCUACUGCGAGACUGAUGUCUAUGGUCUUGCAGCCCACUUUGUUGGAUAGGAUCCGAGAGAAACAGAGUGGAGAUCCACACUUGUCGAGGAUUCGAGAGCAGUUUGAAAGGGGACAGACUGAGGGCUUUGUUGUGGACAGUUCAGGAGUACUGCGGUAUAGGGACCGACUGUGUGUACCUAUCGAUUUAGAGAUCCGAGAGGACAUUUUGAGAGAAGCUCACUGUUCACCUUAUACGGUUCACCCCGGUGGAACCAAGAUGUAUAAGAAUUUAAAGGCCCAGUUUUGGUGGAAUGGAAUGAAGAGGGACAUUGGUAGAUUUGUGGCUCAGUGUCUGACUUGUCAACAGGUAAAGGCCGAGCAUCAGGUAACUUCUAGCAAGCUUUAGAGUCUGCCAGUGCCUAAGUAGAAAUGGGAGCAGAUCACGAUGGACUUUGUCGUGGGGUUGCCUAGAGCUCAGGGUGGUUUCGAUGCUAUUUGGGUGAUAGUGGACAGACUGACUAAGUCUGCUCACUUCCUACCAGUUCAGACCAUCUGGUCGAGAGAGAGGCUCGCUCAGCUAUAUCUAGAUGAGAUAGUGAGGUUGCAUGGCGUGCCCACUACGAUAGUAUCAAAUCGAGACCCGAGGUUCGUCUCGCACUUUUGGAGGAGUCUUUAGACGGCCUUGGGCACUCAGUUGCAGUUCAGCACAGCAUUUCACCCACAGACAAAUGGUCAGUCAAAGCAGACCAUUCAGACUCUUGAGGACAUGCUGAGGGCAUGUGUCCUGGACUUUGGAGGAGGGUGGUAUCGACAUUUGAGACUGGCUAAGUUUGCAUACAACAACAGCUAUCAAGCGAGCAUCCAGCUGGCUCCGUUUGAGGCGUUGUAUGGAUGCAGGUGUCGAUCUCCUUUGUUUUGGAGUUAUAUGGGUGAGAGGAAAACGCUUGGGCCUGAGAUUCUGGUUGAGGCUGAGAAAAAGGUAAAAGUUGUGCGAUGACACAUUUUAGCAGCCCAGAGUCAGCAGAGGAACUAUGCUGAUACCCGGAGGCGAGACUUGGAGUUCCAUGUGGGAGAUCAUGUGUUUCUUAAAGUCUCGCCGUCCAGAGGGAUUCGCAGAUUUGGAGUACGUGGAAAGCUCAGUCCAUGUUUUGUAGGCCCUUUUGAGGUAUUGGAGCGAGUCGGGCCAGUUGCUUACAGGAUUGCUCUACCUUCACGACUAGCCGGCAUUCAUGAUGUAUUCCACGUCUCGGCGUUGCAGAGAUAUGUGUUCGACCGCUCCCACGUGAUUGAUUUUACUCCGCUAGAGAUUGGCGAGGACCUGAGAUACGAAGAGCGACCGGUGCGGAUUCUGGCUCGUGAGUCGAGAAAAUUGCGCAACCAGGUCAUACCCUUUGUGAAGGUACAGUGGAGUAAUCACGAGGAGCGUGCGGCGACUUGGGAGCCGGAGACGGUGAUGAGAGAGUCCUACCCCUACUUAUUUGAGGCCCAGGAUUGAGGUAUGUUUCAGUUUCGUGAUCGAAACUUUUUGUGAUGAGGGAGAAUGUAGUGUUUCAGAGGUUUGGAUAGGAUUGGCUACAGUAUUAGUGGUUGGUCGACACGUCUGGAGAGUGUCGGACUGAGUCGGAGUCGUUUUUGCACGAAAUGGAUGCAGAAAUGGACUUGGCGCACUCAAAUAAGCAAAACUGGAGUUUUGCCAGAUUCGGACGCCCAGAACUGGCCUUGGGUCACCCAGAAGUUCAGUGCAGAAUUGAACUGAACUCGAAGCCAAUUUGGGUCUAUGUUUCGGGCGCCCGGAUGUGGGUCCGAAAAUCCACUUUGGAAGUAUCGAUCGCGCUGACGCGUGGCUGGUGGUAGGUGAGGUCCGCCGGAGCCGGAUAUGGGCACAGCACACCACGAGCGGAGAGUCCGAUGAGGGAGCUUUGUGUAGCCUGGAUGAUUCGGGCGCCCAUAAUGUGGGUUCGGGCGCCCGGAAAUGCCCAUGUCUACAGAGACACCAGAUUGCAGCAGCUAUUCUUGGAGCUUAUUCUACCAUUCCAGGACCCUAUAAAUAGGUGGAGAGUGACCCUGAUGAGCUCUUUUCACUCUCUCUUCACAGUAGCAUCUCUGAUUUCUCCUCCACCCCUCGAUUUUCCUCAAAUUGCAUCCAAUCUUUCAGUUGGAAGGUGGUGGAGUGCUGAUUCUGUAGUUUUCCAGCGACGACCUUCGGUUUUUUGGCUCGUGUGCGACGUAGGAAGAUCGGAUUGCGGUGAAACUUGGUUUGCUGGAUUCUAGACUUCCAGAGGAAUUGCAGAUUUUGGUUGAGAGUAGCUUGGUCGAUUCCAUAUUUUUCUGGAUUGUUGGUGACUUUGAGCUGAAAAUCUGAUUUUUGGAUUUUUCUUGGUGCUAUCUUUGGAAGCAAGGUGUUUUUGGACCUGAGAUACAUACUCCAUCCUAUUCCACUGGAUUUGAGACCUUCCAUACUAGAUUUGGAUGUGAUUAGGUAAGUUUGGAUAUUGGAGUUGCGUUAAUUUAGCUUAAGUGCUGAAAAUUUGUGUUGAUUGUGACAUUUUGAUGGAUUUUAGUGGAUUUGGAAGUUCAGAUCUGAAUUGUGGACCCUUGCUGGCUGAGAGGGAGUUCGGCUGAGUUUCCAGCAUCUCCGAGAUUUUCUUGCUGU
Molecule: long non-coding RNA, 50547 nt
Filed under: Ananas comosus (pineapple)
Lineage: Eukaryota; Viridiplantae; Streptophyta; Magnoliopsida; Poales; Bromeliaceae
Description: long non-coding RNA (ACOM_LNC013345)
Source: RNAcentral